RNAcentral lists this long non-coding RNA (84002 nucleotides) under Solanum lycopersicum (tomato). Its description in RNAcentral is "long non-coding RNA (SLYC_LNC001197)". The record is from RNAcentral. Lineage: Eukaryota; Viridiplantae; Streptophyta; Magnoliopsida; Solanales; Solanaceae.
UUUUAAUAAAUUUGAUAUGAUCCUUCCUUAUUUAUGAAUAGAUUAAUCUUACUAAUUUAUUAUUAUUUGUUUAUAUUUUGUAACAUAAUAAUAAUUUAAUAUUAUUUUGGAGCUUCUUUAUUUAAGGUAAAAGAAAUAUUGUCUUCCUAACUUUAUUAUUACUUACUUAUUUUUGGUAAUGAGCAUUUUAAAUAUUUUCUGAUUUUUGGCUCUCUUUGAAAAUAAGGAAAUAGUAUUAUAAUUAACUCCUUGAUUUAUUUUAUUUCCAUUAUUGUGCUCCCCCUUAUUUGCUAUAUAAAUAGGACUCCCUCCCCUCCUUUCAGACACACAUUGACAUCUUUGAAAAGAACUCACAUUCUCUAAACUCAUUCUUACUUUCUUACUACAAAUGCUACAUUAUUCUUAAACUUUCUUAUUCUCUCAUUGCUCAUACAUACAUGAACUCAUCAACAUACACUCAUUCACUCUCAAUCACAAAAACUCUCUCAUCAUUCUCCCUUCUCUCAUUCGCUCUCUUGCUACCUUAACAAUACAUCGAGAAUUCGGUUUCAUACUUGAAGUUCAAGUUGAAGAUUAACUGAAGAAGGAUUUAUUUGUUUAUUUGAAUGUGUAUAUAUAUCUAUAUGUUUUUUUUUUGUUUUUUUUUUCUAUUUUAUUUAUUCAAAUGUUGUAACAAUUGUAACUCUAAAGAUCAUAUAAUAAAUUUAUUUGGGGGGUCGUCUAGGGGAGGGGGAUUUAUAUGCCUAGUUGUUCAUUAUAAAUUUUUAGAAAUCAUGCCUAUAGUUUUGUCUUUAACCACCUAGAACUAUUGUUUGUAGGUGUUAUAAUCCAAUCAAUUGUUUGAUGCUUUGUUAAUAAGUCUAAAAAAUAAUAAACUAGAUUCCGUUAAUUUUAAAAUAAAAUCAUAAUAGGCUGAUUAGGUGUUUUAACAAUGUUAUAAUUUUAGCAUCAUCUUGUCAUGUAGAAACCAUGUCUAAGGUUUAAUUUGUUCAUAACAUUUAAAUUUACAAAAUUAUGCAUAUACGUGUUACUUUUUUUGAACACCUAGAAAUCAUGUCUAUAGGCUUGUAAAUAAACUCUUAACAUAUCCAUAAAAAAUAGAACUUGUUUGUGCAUAUUUGUGCCCUCCCCCUAAAAUUAGUUAAUAUUAUUUCAUGAGUAAUCCCAUUCGUUUUCUUGAAGAUUUCCGCAUUCCUUGCAAUAUGUUAUUUUCUUAAAAUCAUUUCAUGCAUUUAACUUGGCUUUAAAAAUAUUUCAUAUCAAAACCUUGUAGCAUAAUUUUCUUAAAAAGUCAUUAUUCAAUCUUCCUUUUAAACUUUGGAUUGAUUUUGACAUUGUUUAUUUUGAAAGUAAAUUAUAAGUACUAUCUCCUAACCUAUCGUUAGUGGGAAAGUCAAAGGAAGUAUGAGGUCUAGUUCCAAUUUUUUAAACCCGACGCAUCCUCGGAAGUAUCACCUACCCAUGAAUUUCAAAAGGAAUUAUGUGCAUUUAUAUGUAAAUGUUUAUGUGCCUACAUGUAAACUAGAUCUUUUAAAUCAUUUUUUUCAAAAAUAUAAACUAUUUUUAGACCGACCUCAAAUCAAAAUUGUUUCUAUGGUGGAGGAGCGCGAUCAACAAUAUCGUGGCAUCAUCCCUACAAAGAAACAAACAUUUUUUUAAAAAUAAAAAAAUUUCAUAUUCAAAACUUGCUCCAUUUUCAAAACUUUACUUUCUCACAUAUUAAUUGUUUAAUAUUACAAAUUUUGUCUAUAACAUAGCCUCGUAUGUUAAAUAAAUAAAAAAUAAACUUGAUUGUUUAUUAUUGCUGUCAUCUAGCCUCGCAUGUUUAAAUUAAUAAAAUAGCCUUAAUUGUUUUAUACUUGUUAUCACUUAGCAAAGCACAUUAAUGAAUAAUAAUGAAGUGACCUUGAUUGCUACUUGUAACCCCCACAUAGAUUGCAUGAGAUACGGCCGGGACCCACACUUGUGGACCUCGAGGCAUGCCUAACACCUUCCCCUCGAGGUAAUUUGAACCCUUACCCUAAUCUCUGGCUCGUUGACCUUAGUUAGACUUAAUUAGGUUAGAUAGGUGCCCUAACGCGCCUAAAUUCGUUAGGUGGCGACUCCAAACUCGAAAUCCGAAAAGAGUUGUUAGGUGGCGCACAAAACCCAUUUUUUGCGAAAAUGGGGCGUGACACUGUGACAACAAAGUUGCAAUACAAAUAGCUUCAAAUCCCAUCGUACAAAGCAUAUUGAGAUUGAUUGCCAUUUUGUGAGGGAAAGGUUUCACGCAGGGUUGAUUAAACCUGCACAUUUGUCAACUACUCUGCAAUUGGCUGACUUGCUUACCAAAGGUCUUGUUGUAGCAUAACAUCACUUCCUUUUGUCCAAGCUUGGGGUUCUAGAUGUUUUCCACCCUGCAGCUUAAGGGGGGGGGUGUUGAAAUAAGAUGUUCCUUAUUACUGUUAUUUUUUGUAAGUGUCAUUUGUGAUGUAGCUAACAGAAUUAGUUAAAAUUUGUUAUGAGGUCAGUUUAAAUGGAACUUUCUAGAAGUAGGUUAGUUGGACCUAUAAAAGUACUAGCCAUCAAUUGUAAUUAAAAAAAAAAGAUAAUUCAAUUUAGAUUCAAUGAAAUAGUGAUUCUUUUUUUUUCUUCCAAUAUCUCUGUAGCGGCUUAGAAAAUUCAUCAAUGGUGAACUUAUUCACCACUACAAAUUAACAAUAGUCAUUCGUUGAGGAUAUUGUGUUAAUUAGCUAAAUUAGUGAAGGUGUCAACUAUAAAAGUUUAAACUGUGAAGUUUUACCAUUGAGAGUAAAGAUUUUUUUUUUCUUUUUAAGAAUAAGUAGAAGUUACACCAAAAUAGCAUUGCUAGUUUAGUCUGUAUAAGAAGUGAAAUUAGUUGGAGCCCAGUUUAUCAGCCCAAUACCACCCAUUAGUCCAGGCCCAUAAACAAUAAGGACGGCCCAUUUAGAUUUUAAGAUUGGUAUUAUUGCGGGAACUUAGGGGCGGGGGGUGGGGGUGGGGGGUAAAUAUUUCAUUUUUAGGGAAUUUUAGUAGCUCAAUUGCUCGGACCUUUGUAGGGAAUUUUUAGUAGCUCAAUUGCUCGGACCUUUGAUUACAUGAACCUUCACUUUGUUAACGUGGAUUCAUUUUUCCACCUUGUUAUAUCCUUCCUCAUUUAUUCACUAAAAUUAAUAUUAAUGAAGGAUAAAUUAUGAGUAGAGAAAAUGUUUCCAAAAGUCCUAUUAACUUAUUUAAGCAAAUCAUAUCAAACAUGAGGCACAAUUUUUAAAGUUGUUACUAAUACUAAAACCAUUCUUUUAGUAUAUACAACUUUUUUUAUGGGAUAAAGGUAUUCCCAAUUACACAUGGAAUAAUUCCAAGAAACGUUGCUGGAAUUCAAAGAAUUGAUAACUGGAACUCAACGAACGAUUCAUGAGGUUUAAAAUAUUGUAGAAGUUUCAAAUCAUGAAUCGUUCCUUAAUUAUUAUUUUUUUCAAGUUCAAAAUAAAGGAAUAAUUUUGUCCUUAUUACUUUUAAACGAUGUCUAAAAACUCGUAACAGAAUCGAAAACGUGUUUUCUUCCUUUCCUUUUUUGAUGUAUAUGGCUUCAUCAUCCUAUCUAGAAGAUAUAUAUUUAAGGACAAGAAAACAACAACAUUUCAUUUGAAAACACGACACCAUUCUAUAUUUCAAGUUUGAUAAUAGGAUAUGUGAUUAAUAAGGCCUAUGACCUAUGAAGUAUGAACGCCCGCACAUAAGGUCAAGUCAAGUGGUCAAGUUUACAUCACAAAAUAGUAAAUGGGGUCUAUGUUUAUACAAUAUAUAUAAUAAUUAAAAAAAUAAAAGGGAAUAUAGUAAUGAGAAAACGAAAAAAAAUAAAAAUUCAAACUUUGAUUUUUCUUGGAAAUUUUAACGGUCCAAAUUUGGAAUAACUCGGUUUAUAAUAUGAAAUGAUCUUUUAAUGGUCACUAUCUAAUUGAAUAGAGAUCCCCUAAAUGUAAAACUGAAAAUCUUUUAUAAAAAGAUAUAAAAUUAAAAAUAAAUGACAAAAUCAAAUCUCUUCUUUAUAAUAUCUUCGGUAUCAAUCUUGAAUCUUUAAUUCGACAAGUUGAUUUAAGCUUUAUUUAAUAAAUCGUUUUGCCACCCUUAAUUAGCACUUACUACUAAGGUAUUUGUAUAGCCGUCUAUGAUAAGUAUAAUUCUUUUUAUAUUUCCUCCGUUAAAAAAAAAUGUCUCUAUUUUCUUUUUAGUUUGUUUUAAAAAAAAAAUGAUCCCUUUCCUUUUUUGACAACACUUUGACUUUAACUUUUCAUGUGACAUGUUUAAGAUCACAAUAUUAAAUGAUAUUUUAGUACAUUUGACAUAACUUUAAUUUAAAAUCACAAAAUUAAAAAAUCUUCUUUCUUUUCUUAAACUUCGUUCCAAAUCAAAUUAAAUCAUCCUUUUAGAAACGGAGAAAUAAUAUGUACAUAUUUUAUAAGAAAGUUUAAAGUAGAGAGAAUAGAAAAUAGUUCAAUCAAAGAAGAUUUGGAGGACCACAAAUCCAAGUUAGGGACUUGUUGCCACAGCAUGGUCCCAUAAUGUGUAACAUGUGGCAAGAUUAUUGGAUUUAAUUAGUACCAUCAUUAAUUCUCUCCUCAAAUAUAAAAGUAUUAUGGAGGUUGACUGUCAUGACCUGUGAUUGUGAAUUUGUGGACUUGUGGUCAUGUGGAGUAAGAUUAUAUGCUUUCCGUUCAUUUUUAUUUAUUCAUAAAAUGAGUACUAUAUUUAUACUUAAUAUGUUUAAAAAAUAAAUUUGUAAUAUUAAUAGUAAAAUAUUAAAAAAAUAUUAUUUUUCUUUUGAUAUGUGAAAUGAAUAAAUAUUUAUUUUUUAAUAUAAUAGAUAAAUAAAAAUGAACGAAAGAAAAGAAUAAACACUGUGGUCCAACUUCCACUCUAUUUAUGUUGGGAUUAUUUAACUAAAACUUAUACCUAAUACCUAGAUUUUCGCUCUAAUCUAAUUAUGGCCCCUCCAAUUAUUCUUCAGUUACCAAUUAAAUUGAGUUGCUUGUUCCCUCCUAAAUCCCAUCAAAUUUCCACUCUUUUGUUUCAAGUGAGGAAUUUUAACUUAUUCUAAUUUGUUAAUGUCAUUUUCUAUCGAAUAAAUGAAAUGGUCACGCUAUAUACUACUCUUCGACAUAAAGAAAAUAUUUUUAAAUUUUUACAUGUUUAAAUUAGAAAAAUAUUUUUAAAAUACACUUAAGAAUUUCUUUCAAAAUUAAGAAAAUAAUUUUCUUAUAAAAAAGAUAAAACAAAUUUCACUCUAUAUCAAAAAUGUCAAACGUAACCCUCUAACUCACCUUAUCCUUGCACUUACGGCCUUACUCUCACCCCGUAGCUCUCAUCCCCACCAAGCCACCACUUGUACCUUCCCGCCCCAUUUUUUAGUUAUUUUAAUUAGAUAUAAAUAUUUUAAAAUAAUAUUUAUUUUGUAUGCUUACUAAUAAAAAUAUUUAUUUUUCUUAAAUGAUAUUAUUCGAAAAAUAUUUUCUCAGUGAACCAGCCUUAUAUCAUGAUUUCAUGGUACGUGGUACACAUAAAGCUAGUAUAAUACUUACUUAAAACACCCCUAUAUUAUUGUUUAGUUAAUGUUCUUCUCUCCCAAUUUGUCAAGUUAAAUAGUAUUAAUCCACCAUCUUCUAUCCAUAUUUACUCUAUGCUUUAAAGCCUGAAAUGAAUAAAAAUCAAUUAAUAAUGCGAAUAAAUCGUUGUAAAAAUGAUAUACUUGGCGACAAACAAUCGAAUGAAGUCAAUAAGAACGGUUGGCAGCUUAUUUGAAAAUGACCCAAUUUCUCUCUCGCACUAUCUAAUAUAUCUAUAAAAUAUUAAGUCUCCUUAUUAUAUAUUACUAUCAUACAGUACUAAAGAUUUUUCUAAAAGUUAUUAAUUUAAUUUGGAAUAUUAUUAACGCUAGUAAAGAAUGAUCAGAGUAGUAGGCAUACUUUAAUAACAGUCUUGUUCAUAAAUAAAUCAAUGUUUGAUAAUAAAAAUUUAUUUUUGGAAAAGAGAAAAAAAAAUGUAUACAUGAAUACGUUCAUCUCUUAAGAUGAAAUGAUCAGUAUGUUUUAUUGUUAACUAGAGAUUUUAAAUUUAGAUAUUGAAUAUGAAAUUACUUUUUAUAAGUAAUGGGCAAAUCAAGUGAAAAGUGGGGGAAUCUAUAUAUUUUUUUCCUUAGUCAAGCCUUGAUGAACUUCCUUUUCAUUGUUAGAAAUAAUGACCAAAGGUAAAUUAACGUAUUAGUACUAUUUUCAUGAAGACGACUAGCUCCAUGCCAAACCUUUGGACGAGAAACAAAUUUCUCUCCCUCCGCUUAUAACUCAUGUUUUCUUUCUGUCUCGGUUUAUAUAAUUUAUUUUUUUUCUUUUUUCGAUAUUAAAGGAAUGAGGACAGAUUUUUAUAUUAAGUAACAGUUUAAUUUUAAAAUAUUUAUUUUAUCCUUAAUGAAUGAUUUAUAGUCAUAUAAAUAUGUCUCACUUAUUUUAAAGCACAAAAAAAUCUUUCUUUCUUAAAUUUCGUGCUAAAUCCAACUAACUCAUGUAAAAUGAGACGGAUAAAGUAAACAUUUUUUCUUCUUCUUUUUGUAGAAAACUUCUUCCAAAUUACGUAAUUAUUCUUUGUCUUUAGAAAGAAAAUUAAUCAAAGAUAGAUAGGUAAGUUGGUGGUUACAUUUUAAUGAAAAAUUUGCGAAAACUAUAUAUUGGGUUCCCUUUUUCCCCGUUUUCGGGUAAAAAUGAAGCUUAAAAAGUUGGAAAAUUUUUCAAAAUGUCAAUAUUUUAGCAUUUAAGAGGACUCAUUUAAAAAGUUGGAAAAUUUUUCAAAAUGUCAAUAUUUUAGCAUUUAAGAGGACUCAUUAGCAACAACUUCAAUAUUUAGUAAAAAUGUCAUUUUAGUUUGUUAUGUAUGUUUUUAUUAUUUAUUUUUAUUUAAAGGAUAUAAUUAUUUAAUAACAAAAGGGAGAAAAUUAAGGGGUGAAUAUUUCAAAAAAAGGCAAGCAUCCUUAAUUUUCUCAUCAGUUAUAUUUUCAAAUAAAAUUUAAAUUUUGUUUUUUUUCUCCAGAAUUUUUACCUUUUUAAAAUUAUAUUCAUUCCACAAUAUAUUCUUAUAAUUAUUAUAAUUUUUUAUUAGUUUGUAUUCAUUCCAAUAGGUAUGCCGAAUUUAUCUAUAUAGUCAUUUAAGAAAUAUAUUUGUAUUUUUAUAUAUUUUUUCCUAUAUAGUUAUUUUUUUUUCAAAAAUCCUAUAUGUAUUCAUUUCAAUAUGUAUUUUAUUUGUAUUUCUAUUUAUUCUAGUUUUUAUUUAGAAUUUUGUAUAAUAAUAUAUAAAAUACAAAAAAUUAGUAUGAUGAAAAAGUGAAUGAAAUAUAAAAUUGAAAAGAAAUAAUUGAAUAUUUGGUGUACUCAUUCUUAAAUAAAAUACAUAACUAGUUGAAAUAUAUUUAGAAUAAAUACAAAUUAGAAAAAAAUAUCAAAUUCAGUUGACAUACCUUUAUUAGUUUGUAUUCAUUCCAAUAUGUAUGUCAAAUAAAAUGUAGCUAUUUAAGAAAUACAUUUAUAUUCGUAUAUAUUUUUCACUGUGUAUUUAUUUUUCUUUUCAAAAUCUUGUUUCCUUUUCUAAGUCGUAUUCAUUCUAAUAUGUCUAUUAUUUGUGUUUGUAUUCGAAUACAAAUAAACUAAUAGAAAGUUGUUCUUCUUAUAAAUAAAAUACAUAACUAGUUGACAUACAUUUGGAUGAAUACAAAUUAGGGACAAAUACAAGAUUCAUAAACCAUAGAAAUUUUUAAUAAAUACAAAUAUUGAUAGUAUACAUAGUGAUUUGAAUACAAAUUAAGAAAGCAUACCAAAUUCUAAAAAAGAACUAUAAAUACAAAACAAACUAAUAGAAAAUUGUUCGCGAUCUUCGUCGUCUUUUUCAAGAUCCUCACGAGUAGACAAAGAUUUUACAUUUGCGUUCUGAAUUUGAGGAAGGUUUUGCACACCAAUGAGUCUUGUAAAUGUUCUUACCCUCUUUCUUCCCUCAUUUUAGCAGCGGAUCAUACAUUAUACACUAUUUGUUAAGUAAUAAAUAAAUUAAAGGAUGAAAAAUCACCAGAAAUUGGUUGAUUAAGAUGAAUACCUCUAGUAAGCCUCUUGGAUUCAGCCAUUGGAGAGUAAAUCAUAACUGAAACUGAUGAUUCAAUUUUGGAUUAAAAAAACAACCAAAAUAUAAAAAAGAUAACCAUAAGAGAGAAAAAAAAUUAAAUGGGAGAGAGAAUUAACAAUUUGAAAAGAUAAAUAUGAGAGAGAAUAAUUUUUUUUAAAAAAAAGAAUAUAUAGAAUUAAUUGAAAAAGAGAGAUAAAAUAGGAAGAAAAAUGGGACACAUAAAUUUUUAAAAAUAAUGACAUUUUUGACAUUAUUGCUAAUAUUUCUAAAGUAUGGAUAUUUUUACUAAAUAUGUUAUUUAUUUUGACUAAUUUACUAAUUUUUCCUAAAAAGUUACCUACAUAAAAAGAGAACUAAUAAUAUUACUCGCUGGCUCUUCAUAUAUACUUACUGCCAAUUUCAAACAAAAACAUUUAAGAGAAACUUAAAUGAAGUCAAUAAUAUGGCACAUUAAUGGCAAAAAAUAUUUGUACAAAGAUUUUAUUCUUUUGGAAAGUAACUUCUUCUUUCUAUUUGUCUUUGUAUUCUUUCAUAUCCAACAAUAUUAAAAGAGUACAACAUGUUAACUAUAAAGAUUUAGCAUAAAAAUCCACCAGUGGCAUAAAUUCAACGACAGUUUCCAGUGACAUUCUUUUCACUUGGAAUCAUCUUCAUAUUAAAUUUUGUACUUUUCAAAUUGUUGAACAUGAAGAUAUACCUAACAAUAAUUCCCUUAAAUAAUAAACUCAAAUGUGAGAAAUUAAAUUGACCAUUUAUAAAAGCAAAUAUUUUGAGUCAGAUAUGAUAUAUACAUUUCUACCUCCUAUCCUUUCGAGAUCUCAUUUGUAGGAUUCAUGACUAGAUAUGUCAUUAUUGUUGUAUUCAAUAUUUACGUCAAACAAACGAAUGAAAUAUAUAUAAAAAAUAAUCACUUGUUAGUUAAGUGAUUGUCCGGUCACUUUUAGGUCGUGCUCUAUAAUUUAAUUAUUUGAUUUGAUAUAAAUAUCGAGCAUACUCAUCUAUUGAACUCAAACGAGGACAAAGAGAGAAAAAUCAAACAAGAUCACAAAAGCAAGUCGAACAAGAAAAGCAGUGACUUAGACUAACACUAAACAUAAGUUUUAACUUAUCUACAAUUGGAAAAGAAAAAAUACAAACGCUUAGGAAUCAUUCUUAAUUACAAGUUUCCCCAAAUUAAGCGUACGUGCACAUGUUCACUUCUUUGUUAAGCAAUCUAAAUUAGAAUUGCUCUUUUGAUUGAUAAAAAAAGUUAUAUUUACACAGUACAAUUAUCGUCCAAGAAAUGAAAAAAAAAAGUUUUGUUAGUAAUCAAUACUCUUUUUUUGUUAUAAAGAACACUAAUGGUAGGUUAACGUCUCUUACUUUAAACUAUUGUCCAAUCACAUUAAUCACAAUUAUUUGAUUAAUAUCACCAUUCGGAUGGUGCCAUGUGUCAAUAUUAAAUAUGGUGAUAAGAUGAGAUACAAUUUAUUACUCCAUCCGUUAAAACAAGAAUGAUCUAACUUCUUUUUUAGUUUGUUCCAAAAAGAAUGAUCUCAUAACUUUUAAUUUUAAUGUGACAUGUUUAAUACCAUAAUAUUAAUGAACAUUUUAAUACAUUUGACAUAACUUUAAUUUAGAACUAUAAAAUUCUUUUUUUUCUUAAACUCCAUUCCAAAUCAAACUAUGUUAUUCUUUUUUAAACAGAAGAAAUAUAUAAUAUAAACUUAAAAUCGAUAUAAAACUCAUAAACUUCAAAUUCAAAUUCAAUUAUUUGGAGUAAUAAAAAUAGUCAUAGAGAACAAGUUGGUUAGAAAUCUUUGUCUGAACAUUGUUAGGAGUGCAAUAUGAUGAAUACAUAGAGUUGGGUUGGAUUUGAUGCUUUUGGUCCCCCAAUUUUUCAAAUAUUGUUUAAUCACUUUCCUUAGUGGCUGAGUCUCGAGUCUUCUUCUUCUUCCUCCAUCAGUACAUUUUGACCCUACAAAGGCCAGACUCCCCUUUAACGUGCACCUUGGGUUUUCACUAUUGUGGAAUCUCUUGUCCUUUUGUGCAACUUAAUAGGCUAAAGGGUUGGUUGAGUGUGAACCAAUGACUUGUGUUUUUUCAUAAUUAUUUUAACUUACCUUUGUUCGAUAUAAUUUUUUGAUCUGAUUAAUUUAAAUUCAUAGACAUAAAAAAAAAUUAAAAAGACAAUUAUAUUGUUAAAGAAAAAGAAGUAAAAAAAUAUUUGAUUCGCUUGGUCCAAAAAUCCUCAUGAAUUAGUAUAAAUCAAAAUGAAGUAUUAUCGUGAUGAUUAGCAAAUUGGCAAAUUUUUAUUAGCUUAUGGACAUUUUUAAACCAAAAAUUAAAUAGAAAACAUACGAGGUCUGAAUAUUAAGUAUGAAUCAUAGUUCAAAUAUUUCUUAAUCUAUUUCGUGUUUCAAAUAUUCGAAUAAAUAUCUGACGAAGUAAAACUAUCUCUAUCAAGAUAACUGACCCUUUCUCAGUACUAUUAAUAUAUAGGAUCAAUUAUAACAAGUCAUACAAUAUAUUUAAUCUUUAAUAAAAUUUUUUAUAUAUAUAUUCAAAGCUCAAACACAAUAAUACGAAGGAUCCACCAACCCACCCUUGUCCUUUGGUGAUUAGAGAGUGGUAUGUUAAUUGUUACGUACCAAAGUUGUUGAUUUGACCGAUGUCUUACUCUUAUUAUUUUUUCCCUUUAAUGUUUGCUCCUAAUAUACUCUUAUUUUGUCGUUUAUUUAGGCCAUUUUGAUUUGUUAUAUCCUCAGUCAUUAACACAAUUAUCCAUUCUCAACUACUCUAAUGAAAUAAUUAUAUAUAUUCCAACUUUUAUGUGUCCAUACAUAUUCUAUAUUGAUUUUGAUACACAUAAUUUUUUAAUAUAUUUGUGUUACAAAGAAAAAUAUAGGUGUUAUAAUAUAUUCAAAAGUUUCCCCGACAUAUGUCUAUCAAAGUAGUUCCUAAUUUUCAUUUUAAACAUAUACUGUACGUAACAGCGACAAAUCCAUUACUUAUUACCAAUAAAAAAAAUUAUUUCAUUAAACAACUUGGAUUUAUUAAAGAUUGCAAAUGGUGGUCCAUUGUCAAGUGAAGAUUAAAUAUUGAGUAAUUUGAAUCAGGGUAAAAAAAAAAAUGGAUUUAAAAAUAAUUAGCUUUUGCUUUUUGAUGUGGAUGGGUAAAAAGUAGUAAAAACUAAAAAGCCAUGUAAACUAUAUUAAAAUGAGAAUAAGAUUCAAAUGUAUAGUGAGUGAAUAGAAGAAUCGUAAUGAUGGGAUGUUUGGAGAAUGAGAAAAUCCCUUGGGACACUACAAAAUCUGUUUGUUCCCCUUAACCAUUUGCUUAUUCCUUUUUAUUAAUCCUUAUUAGUAGUAGCUAGCUUAGCUGCCACCAUAUGUGGUUUUUUAGUAUGUUUUUAAAAAUAUUUUCGUUAAAUCGAAUUUUUUUAAAUUUCGUAACAAAUUAAAUUAUAUUGUUCUUUUUAAAUUGAAGAUGAAAAAGAACCAAACACAAUUAUACACCUAUAUCAUGAUUCAUGAACCAUAUUAAUAUUCAGUUUUAUACAUAUGCAAAUAUGGAGAAUGAAUUCCAAUCUAAUGUCUUAUGUUUUAUUCACACUGCUCCUUAUUACAAGCAAAAUUCCACUUUAUAUAAAAACAUAGAGAAACUUACCAAAUGAUAUUUACUGUUUAGCCAAAUCGAUUUAUUAAUAUGAUUGUAUUAUCCACAGUCUAUAAAUUACAUGAAACUAUAAUCAUCCCAAAGUAUAUAUGAGAUGGUCCGUAGACUACUUCACAACAAUUUGAGAUAAUAUAACGUAUUAUACUAAAUAUAUUUUUGGAAAUAUGGUAGAUAGAAUAUAUUAGUAGUACACAAUAAGAUGUGUGAUGUAAUAAGAAUAGAUAGAGAAACAAAGUGGGAAGUGGAGGAGUUUGCAUCAGAAUAUGCUUUCCAGUGAAGCAUUCCAACUAAGACUUUUGGUAAUCAAUUAAUUCACCUCUUCUUCCAUCUUAUUGGACAGACGGCUAACACGUUUCUCAUCCUUAACUUAAUUUUCACUGUUAAAUUAUUUUUUUUUUUCGAUUUAUACAGAUUUUAUUAUUAUCUCAAAGUCACAAGAAAGAGCAGGAAAAAAAUGUCUGAUUUGGAUUCUAGUUUUGAUCCUUGUAAGAUUUAGUUAAGCAUAUGAAACAUAUAUGUGUUAUUCAGACUACUUUUACUACGAUAUUAUAUAUUACCCUCGCAUGUAUCAAAUAAUUGUAAAAGUUCAACAAUAGACAUCAAAUAAUUGAACACAUUUAGCAUGUCAUAAGUUGUUAAUUUGUGGACAUUCAUAGUCUUAUUAGGUAACAAUAAGGUUAAAUAUGUUUAAUCAUAAAUUACAACAUCAAAAUUUUAUAAUAUUUGAUAGUGAACGGGUCGUUUGGUUUGAAUAUAAGUUAUGAUAUGAGAUAAGUUAUUUUGAGAUUAAUUAUGAUAGAAUAAGAUAUGUUGGGAUUAGUUAUGAUUAGUUAAAUUAUGCUCAAACUAUUUCUUAUUGAGUGUUAGUUUGUUGUAUUCAAAAUAAUAUGCAUUACAUAGAUUUUAAAAAUAAUUUAUUUCUUUAUGAAAAUACACUUUAUGAAUAUGAACAGUGAUUAAAAGGGGUUUAAAGGAAUAUCUUUGUUAUUUAUCUAUUUUAUUUCGGGAUAAGUUAUCCCGCGAUUACUAUACCAUCCAAGGCGAAGGAUAAUUUAUCCCAUUACUAAUUAUUAAUUCAAAAAUAAGUUAUUUCAAAGUUAUCAACCAAAUAACAGAUCAAGUAACACUAUAAUUUAAUCCUAAAAUUAUUUGAUGUUAUCUUUCACUGGAUUUAUGGUGCAACUGAUCAAUUCAAGACUUGAGGAUAAAAAUCUUUAAAAAACAACCUUCACUUUGUACGAAUUUGAAUUAGUCGAAUUAAUAGUAUUGGACUAUUGAAGGCCUAAAAAUAGAGAAAAGUAAAACUUAGGAAUAAAGGAUGGCCUGAAACUCAAAAUGAUGUACAAAUUGCAAUAGAGACUCCAGAGAAUGAGAUGUGGACAUCCACAUGCAGCCUCUUGUCACUUUCUUCUUGGAAUUUUUCACUAUCUUAGGAUAUGUAAAUAUAUAUCUACUAUAAGUUUAUGCAAACACUCCAAAGUUUCCUUCUUUUUUUUUCAUCAAUUCAUCAAUUUUCAUUAUAUGAUAUAUAUAAAACUUUCCCCCAUUAAUUUUUUCUUUAUAGGAUUUAUUAAAAUUAUCACAGUACAUUUAUUCCCCAGUUCCAUAAUUAUUGUACGUUCACGUUAUUUAUAAAAUCAAGAUCGAAUUAAUUUUUAAAAAUCAUUUUAUCUUUACAUACUUUUUUGUAGUGUAAAUAAGUUUGCAAGAUUUCAGAAAAGGUAUUUUAAGGGAUAAAUUAGUAUAACUGUUAUUUUUAUUUAUGAUUUCUUAAAAGAAAGGUAAAGUAGAAAAUAGACGAGUAAUAUAAAACAGAGCGAGUAAGAUAUAAUGGAGAAAAAAAUAUACAUAUCGCAUUCAAACCCACCAACAAAAAAUAGUGCAUUUGCGGGGACACUUCAGAAAUUGUUUUGUCCAUUCUUAGAAUCUAGAUUGAGUUUGCCAGACGCUACAUAUUGGCUACGUUAAGUUUGAUCAUAGUCUCCAUUUAUAGGUUGUGAAUUCUUACCACAAUUUAAUAUUAAUAUUACAAAAACAAUCGAGUUUAUAAUUAAAUAUUUAUGGAUGUUUUGUAGAGUUUUUCAGAAUCAUACGAGGUCUAAGAAAAGCUAUUGAACUUACUUGAAUCGAUGACCAAACUUCUAGAUUUUUCUUCGAUAUUAAUAACAUAAAAUUUUUAAAAAAUUAUUUUUUUCUCGUAAGAGAAAUUUAAGUUUGCAACCAAUUAAUUAGGUGAUCGGCAAGUACUUGGAAUGAUUUCUUUAUUCAGAUUUAGAUAAUUUUUCGCUCAUAAAUUAAUUUUUGGUGGUUAAAUUAGACUUAUUAAUAGUAUAAUUUACAUAAAUUAAAUUUUAUUGUAUUGAGAAUUAAUUAUAUGAUGGGUAACGGCUUAGAAUAUUAUUAUUUUUAAAAGUUUAAUUUUCAAAGUUACAUAAAAAAUGUUUUAUACAUUUAUGUCAUUUUGAAGAAUUUUUCGAUAAAACAUUGAAGGAAAAUAAAAGUACAUAGUGUACUGUAAUUGAUGCAUUGGACACACAGGCUCAAUAAUGAUAUUAUGCUGCCACAAUAUUGGAUGACAACCCACCAUGUAAUAUAAUAUAACAGACUAUACUAGCUAGAUCAUAAGAUGAGGUGACAUUUUCCAUAUAGAAUUGCACAAUAAUUAAUUAUCUACAUACUAAUUUAGCGUAUAUCUUAUAGUAUUAACAUUAUCACCCACACAUAAUUUAAUUAAUUAAAGCUAUAGUUAUACAAUAUUCGACACUAGUUUAAUAAUAAUAAUAAUAAUAAUAAUUUAAUUAAAGUAGUGGAGUGGGAUUUGCUGUAUCGUGUUUGUGCCUUGGAUAUUGAACUCUAGGGAUUCCCUCCUAUCUAAGUAUGACUCUCUCUGUUCAAUCAAAUUUAAAACAGAGAAUUUUUGUUUUAAGUUAUUAAAAUUAGUGAUGUUGAUGUUGGAUUAUUCAACUACUAGUUGUAGUACUAGAGAAUAUUUUCUUUCUUUCUUGAACCUCGAGAGAUUCAUCUACCAUAUGCUCCUUGCUUUAUCUCUCUGUCUUCUUCUUUCUUUCUAUCUCAAUUAACGUGAUAGUUAAAUCUAUUAAUUUAUUCAAAAUCGUUUGAUCAUGAAUUUUGAGAAACAAAAUCUUAAAUUUAAUAGUUGAAAUACAAUUUAUGUAAUUGUAAACCAAACAAAAUAUAUUAUAAAUUAUAAUAAUUGAAAAGAAAUAAUAUUGUGAUCAAUUCUUUGAAUUUCAUAACAAUUUUUCACUCAUUAUUCCAACAGAUAAAUAGUACUUCCUCAGUGUUUGAUUUACUUUCAUUUUUAGUUUGUUUAAAAAAAUGACACGUUGCUAUAUUAAAUAAUAAUUUUGCACUCUAUGUAUUUUACUCUUAGUGAAAUGUCUACAGACACAUAAGUUUCUAAAAUUUAUUUUGGACCACAUAUUUUAAAAGUCUUACUUUAUUUCUUAAACUCUAUAUCGAGUCAAUUACCUCACAUAAAGUGAAAAAAAAAGUAGUAAAUGUUUCAUCUGAAUUAAAAAAAAAAAAUUAGUUCCACUAUUUCAUGAACGCUCUAUUUGUUUUCCACCAUAAAUUUUUCCAACAAAGUGAUUUGAUGAAAUAACUAUCAUAUUUUAUAAUAUAAACUUUAAUAAAUAACGAUGACAAAAACCUUUGUUUAGUAGAGACAUUGAAAGUAAAUAUUAAAGUAAUAGAGGACAUAAAUUUAUUCUAGACCUUACCCUUCACGUGAAAUUAGCGCAAAAGAAUUGAUUUAAAAGAAACAAGGAAAUGUUAAGUUUAAUUAAUUAAUGAAAUUAUUAUUUUUUUGUUUUCUCUUAAGUAUUAUAUUUGUCUCAAACCGUGAAGAAAGAAGACUCACGUCGCCACCUAGCUAACUUUGUCUGCUUAUUCUUUGUUUCAAAACGAUUCCUUUUUUUUUCUUCUUUUUUUUGUGAAAGAAGUAAAAUGGUGGGAGAAUGUGAGAAGAUGGUACUCAUCUCUUCUUCCACUACUAAUCAAAUAUGGCCACAGGUUUUUUUCCUUUCUCUUUCUCAAUUAUUAGUCUAAAUACCCACCACCCCCAUGACCCCAUCUUUGUCUUGUAGCAUUUGGAUUUAGAAUAUCUCUACAUUGGUCUUGUUAUUAUUUUUACCCUAAACUUAUCACACAUCCACUCUUUUAAUUUCUCUGUUCAUAUUUCAUACGAUAUUUUCUUUCUUUCUUUCUUAUUCUUCAGAUAGAUGAGAAAAAUAACUUGAUGAUGGAUUCAAAUGGUACUAAUGCUGCUACUAGUAAUAAUAUGGAGAAACCAAUUCAAGAUCCAUCACAACAACAACAACAACAACCACCACCACAUCUUAAAUGUCCUCGUUGCGAUUCGUCUAAUACAAAGUUUUGUUACUACAACAAUUAUAGUUUGUCUCAGCCAAGGCACUUUUGCAAGGCAUGUAAAAGGUAUUGGACUAGAGGAGGAACAUUAAGGAAUGUACCAGUUGGAGGUGGAUGUAGGAAGAACAAAAGAAUCAAGAGACCAUCAGUUAAUUCUUCUUCUUCUACUACUACUACUAGUCAUGAUAUAAUUACUACUUCAACUCCAAAUAUUGUAAACCCUAGCCACCAUCAUCAACUUCAUCAUGGAGUAGUCCAUAAUAAUAUUGAUCACCUAUCUACUACAAAUUCACAAAAUCAUCUUAACCCUUUAUUUUAUGGGUUGACACAUGAGAGGUCUGAUCUCAACAUUCCAUUUGCAAGGCUUUUUAAUUCUAGGGUUUCGAGUCAUGCUGGAGGAGUCGACCCUGAGGGACAAGUGUAUUCCUUAACCGACAAUAUCCCGGGAUUAAUGGAUCGUCGUAUGGGGCUAGGGUUUUCAAAUUCUUCUGGAGGAGUAGUCAAUAUGGGUCAUGAGAAUAAUAAUAAUAAUAAUAAUAGUAGUAGUAGUAAUUAUGGGCAUGGUGGGUUCAAUCCUAUUAAGCAAAUCCAAGAUGUUCAUGUCAUGAGUACUAGUAAUUGUACAACUUCAACUACUUCACUUCUUUCAAGUUACCCUAAUAUGUUUGGAUCUUCAUCAUCAACAUCAACUAUGGCUUCUCUUAUAGCUUCAAGUCUUCAACAACAAAAGUUCAUGUCUAAUAUUAAUGGUAACAGUUUUCACAGCUUGUUGACUCCUAAUAAUUAUGAGGAAUUGCAAAUGUCAAGGGGGGAAAACAACAAUACUAAUAUCAAUAAUGUCCAUGAAGGUGGUGGAAAUGGGAUCACAAUGUUGAAAGAAGAGAAAAUGGAUCUAUCAAAUCAUCAAAUUCAUGAACAAAUUAUUAAUUCAUCUGAUCCUUCACUUUCUUGGAAUGGUGCUUGGCUUGAUCCUUCAAAUAUGGGGUCUAAUUCAGUCCCUUCUCUCAUCUAGGACAAGUACAUUUAAAUUUGUCUUUUUUACCUUCUUGAUCUCCCUCUCAUUUUUAUUAACAUGUGUCUUUCCUAGCUAGGUAGGUACUUUUUCGUCUAUGUUGCUCGGAUCCUCCAAGAAUGUUGUUGUACUCGUAUCAUAUACACAUAUCCAGCAAAUGAAGGAUCCGAACAACAUAACUUCUUUUCUCUCCCUUCUACUAAAAUAUUGUCAAGACCAUAUAUAGAAGAAGAAGAAAUAUCAGGGCUUCAUAUUGAUGAGAGGAAUUGGAUCGGAGUGAUCAUGUCAGCUGCAAAAAAAAAAAAUCAGCCCUACUAAAUUUUUACAGUCAAAAGGUUGAAAAAGUCUCUCAUUUUUGCGCUGAGAGGAACCUCGGAUCCUAUUCAUCCCACCACAAUAUCAAGUUAGCUUUAUCAUGAAGAGUACAACAUUCAGAGUUGAUGAAGAAGCUGCUUUCUAGUUCCAGUGAGUUAAUUAGUUUUAGUUUUAAUCUUAAUUUUAAUUUUAAUCUUAUUUUGUAUGUAUAUAGAUGCAUGACAUUGCAAUUUUAAUUUCUUGAUGUACUUUUCAGAAUGUGUAUUAGGUUUUGGGUGGGGGUUACAAUGUUGGAGUCCUCAUUAUAAGAGGACUUAACCAACAAUGUUAACUUUUUUUCAUUUGAGUUUUUUUUUAAUUCUAAGAAUUUUUUCCUCCUUGUAGCUUAGGGGAAAAUGGUUGGGGUAUAUUUUGGGUAUAGAAGAGAGGGAGACUUUGUUGUUUUAAUAUGAUUAUCAUUUUAUUAAGUUUGCCAUGCCAUUUUCUUUUUUAUUUCCUUUGCUCUUGUUAAUUAUUUUCCCUUAGCAAUAUUCUUGUUUUUCUAUGUCAAUUUGACACCAAUUGAACUGAGGUAUUAGAUAUCCAUGAUAAUUGAAGUAGUAAUUCAUCAAAUCAUAUGAUAAAUUUUAAAAAAUAUUUAAGGUAUAUAUAUAUAUAUAUUAUAUAUAAAAUCUACAUUAAAUACCUAUAAAAAUCAAAUCUUUUAUAGCUAAAAACAGAUUUUGUAAUGUUUUUAACUUAUUCUUGAAUAAUAAUGUCUAUUUUAAAAAAAUAGGAAAAAGGGAAUAUACUAUUUUUUGAAUACAACUCAAGGAUAAAACUAAAAGACAGUUAUAGAUUCCCUCUAAAUAGGUAACAUCAAUGUGGCAUUUUUAAUAGAUGAAUAAACCCAUAUAUGAUGGAUUAAUUUGUUGUAAUUGAUUGGUAUGGAAGGUCUAAAUUGAUGUUAGAAAUUAUUAUGGCAUGGUGACCACACACAAAAAAAAAUUAAAAAGAUAGGGUGAGACAGAGAAAAAAGAAAAGAUUCUCUAUGUCAGUAUAUAUCCAUGAGAAAAAAUAAUGGAGUAGUAGUACUGAUGGUUUACAAAGCUGAAAAUUAUUGGGAAGCAUGCUACUACACUAAGCUUAUGUCGAUUCAAUAUUAUUAUUAUGUUAUGUGUUGGGGGUGGGGUGGGGAUAUUCUUCUUUACCCUGACAAUUUGCUUUUUUUUCUUCAUAUAAACACAUACACACCACAUUCUAAAAAGCUUCAUUUCACGUUUUUUUUUCGACUUUAUCCUAUCACAUUAUAAGCCCCCCACCCCCACCCCACCCCACCCCAACACACACACUCCACCACCACUUAUCCCACCAUUUUUUUCGAUAUUUGAUACUUGUGUUAGAGUCUGUUACAUUUAGAUUCAUGCUCCUUAAUAAAGCUGACUUUGUAUCUAUGAUGACACAAAUUCGAGAUUUUUAGGUUAAAUGAUGAAUAAGUACUUAUUACUCUAUCACAACUUUAAGUGGUGCGUAAGCAUUUUCAUUUUUACAUUGAUUGUUAUCGAUCUUGAAAGGGGAAUUCUAAAUUUUAGUUUAAAAGUUUUGAAUCACAUUUAUUUUUAUUAGGUUCUGAAUAUAUUAAUUAUAUAUUUUUAAAUAAAAAAUUUAAUACCAGAAUACAUAGUUUAAACUGAAGUACUAGGUUGUGCUGAAUUUGUAAUCACAAUAUUGACUUAGGGCCUUGUCAAUCUAUUGUCAUUUGUGACAACUCAAUUUGUAGAUACAAAUUUGAAUUUGAGCUCUAUGAGGUUUAAAGUUGAUGUUUAAUUUGCAUUAUUAUUUCUAAAUAGUUUCACCUACUGCUUAUAAGUUGUUUCAACAUACUCACUAAUUGAUUACAUGUGUCUUUGGCACCACAGUAUCAAACCACACAACAAAAAACUUAGAAAUUUCAGACAAGAAUUUAUUUGUCGAAAAUAUUUUUGACGGAUUUUUUUCUCAAUAAAACUUUCAUAUUUUUGAUGGUAUCUGAUAGAAAUAUCUAUUCAAAAUUCUCGUUUUUAUAUAUGUUAAGGAUGUCCAACAUCAUUCUUGAUGAAAUAGUAUGUAUAAUUUGAUUGUACAAUUAACAUAUAUAAUUCACUUCUUGUCAUCGUAUUACACUAAUAAUGUUACAUUGUUGUGUAUGAUAUAAACAUUAAGAAUAAAUUAUUUUGAAAAUUUUGGGACACAUCGAUUACAAGCUUAUCAUUUUAAAUAGUCCACUGAGUUUGUGUCAAUUUUAAUGUGAAGGAAUUAGUUUCAUUAAUACAUGCAUGUGUCAAAGAUAUACGUUAAUAAUUUGGUACUGAAUAAGUAAAUGCCACUUCAAAUUAGCAUUAUUUGAUUGUUGACUGAAAUUCUACAGUUGAUUUUUGCCUCCAUUAAGUGAUGGACUUUUUGUGUGUCCCUAUGUUUUUUUCUACCUCCACUAACACAGAAUCUAGUCAAAUUGCAAAUUUCCAUACUAGACUAUAGUUUUUAUUUUUAUUUUUUUUAAAAAAAAUCCACCUAUUAUCAUGCACCUUGCCUUCUUCAACGUGAUUGACGGUGUGAUUCAACAUUAGUUUGAAUAUUCAAUUUAACAAGGAAAAAAAAUUAAAUUACGUUCUCGCACGAUCAUUAGUAAUAAUUAUCUCAAAAAGUUAAUUUUAUAACAAAAACCCAUUCAAUUAUUUGUCACAUCAAAGUCACUUGAGUAACUAAUUUACGUGAUGUUCUUUUGUACAUGUUGAUUAAGUGAAAUUAUUUCUUUGAGCCAUACUUUUGGAAAAAUGAGAAAGGUCCAAAUAUGCUUUAAAAGUAUUCAAAAUUAUGUCCUUCAUUAAUAAUUGAAUUCACAUAUGCACUAGAUGGUCUAAACAUGCUUUUUAAUUUAACUCAAAACCUCAAUUAAGUGAAAUUAAUAAUUGAAUUCACAUAUGCACUAGAUGGUCUAAACAUGCUUUUUAAUUUAACUCAAAACCUCAAUUAAGUGAAAUAUAUGAUUAAUAAGCAAAAAUAAAGUAAAUACUAGGCUCUUAAAAUAUGUGAAAUUAACAUGGUUUUAUUUUACAUACAUAUAUUCAUUCCUAAAACAUAUACUUGUUGAAGAGUAAGUCAUUUAAACAGACAGCUAGAACCUAGAGAUGACCCUAACUUAAAGGAGGAAGAAGACACAAAAAUAGCCCUAUACUUAGCGAUAGAUAAAUUUUAUAAUUAAAUAAUAAUAUACUUUCCUAAUUUAUUUAAUGAUGAAUUGUUUAAAACUUAUGUUAGCUACAAACAAUUUAAUGAUAAAAUUUGUAGAGACUUUCAAAAAUUUUGUAGAAAAUAAAAAAGGUCAAUCCCCUACACUACACUAUAUAUUUACCCAUUUAAUUUUAACAAGAGGACUGGAUCAAUUUAAUAAAAUAAUGGAUAAUUUUUAAUUUUUAUGAUAUUUUAAUUUAAAAGGUAAAUAAAUUAUCCUUGCAUUAUCUAUUGAAAAUAUAACAUGAGUGACUAUACAGGUGAGAUUAAAUAAAUAAAUAACUCAUCUAUCACUUAAACAAAAAGUUGACUUUCUCAAAUAAAUAACCUUUAAAGUGAGGUGGAAGAGUCUUGGUUAUAAUGGGCUUUGCAGUCUAUCAAUACUGAUAUGGGCCUCAUGCUACGUCUCUUGGUGAAAAGCCUUUUUUUUCAGGAUACAUUUCAGAUAUAUAGCUACUAUCUAAUUUUAUUUUAUUUUAUGGAUAUAAUUAAAUACUAAAUAGCAAAAAUAAUUAUAUUCAAAUAAUUUUUCUAAUAUAUAUGCAAAUAAGUACUAAAUGAUAAAUUAUUAGCACACGCCUAAUCAAUUAUAGUUAGGCACAUUUUACGGUUAUGUUCCCAUGUUUAUCGAUUUUAUCACUUUUCAUUACUCUCUCGUUCAAAUAUCACAGAUUUUCUUUUCCUUUUUUUUACAAGUCUUUGAAAUUCAUAAUUUAUUUUAAGAGUGAUUUUCAUGAUUCUUCUUUAUUAAGAUUCUUGUAAUUGUAUUUUUUCCCCUUUUUUUGACGAUUAUAUUUGUAUAUAUCUAUACUUUUUUGCUAUUUUCAUAAAGUUUUGCUUGAAAAUUUUGUUUUCUCCGUUACAAUGACGGAAAUUAGUAUUGUGAUGAGGGUUAUAAAAUGUAUACAUUUAUUUGACGAAAUUUUAGAUGAACUAUCCUCUUUUGAUUUGUGUGUUACUCAAAAGUAUAGCAAAGAAAAAUUUGAGGCUCUAUUACUGGAGAAUGAAAGAAGAACAAAUAAAGAAUCACAAUUGCCCUAUACCUUCCAUCGUGUUGAUAUAUUAAUACAGUGGAAUACUUAUACAUUUAAAUACUUAUAUUGUAUUAUAUUUCUUUGUUUUUUUUGCCUUUUUAUUGUCCAUUUAUAUUGAAAUAUUAUCACAAGUUGAUAGGUUGAUUAACUACACAAGUACAUUUGGAUACAUAAACACAUUAAGUUUGUAUUUUUUUUAAAAUAUACUCAAAGCAACAUUGUUUGCCCACUGUAUCCAAAUUUUGUCUAACAACAAGAGUAUUUACACUAUAAAGUUUGUCUGAUAAGGUAAAUCAUAUUUUAAUUAUCUUGUUCUAAUGCUAAAUUGCUAUACUUUACUUUAAUAUAUUGAUACAUUAAGUUUUAUAAAUAUUUGUGUUCAUUUGAAAACAAAAUAUUCAUAUGCUAACCGUUUAUAUUGAAAUAUUAACACAAGUUUAAAGAUUGAUUAAUCAUAAAAUACAUUUGAAUACAUAAAUACAUUACGUUUGUAUUUUUUUUUUAAAGUACUUGAAGCAACAUUGUUUGUCCACUGUAUCCAAUUUUUAUAUAACAACAAAGGUAUUUAUAUGUAUAUUAUAUAGUUUUUUUUAUAAGGUAAAUUAUAUUUAAAUUGUCGUGUUCAUAUGCUAAAUUGCUAUACUUUAAUUUGUUUGAUAUAUUGAUACAUUAAGUUUUAUAAAUACUUGUAUCCAUUUGAAAACUAAAUAUUCAUAUGCUAACCGUACACAUAAUAGACUAACCGUGGAUAAAAAAAUAAUUUUUUUUUUAUAUUAAAUCGCCUGAUUAAAGCUUAUGUAGAUAUACAUACAGAAAUCAUGACAUAGUUCAUGAUUUGAAGAGAAACUUAUAUCGGUACUAUUUAAUUAAUUUAAGAGUACAUGUUUGGUGUAUAUUCUUGUUCUUGUAUGCAUGAGUGUCACGUUCAAAAUCAAACUUUUAGAUGCUUAAUGGUAUGUGAAUUGAAGAAUAAAUACAAGAAAGUGAUAAAUUAAUUUAACUAAACAAAAUUAAUUAAAAACCUUUAUGUUGACUAAGAAAAUUAAUUUAACUUAACAAAAUUAAUUGAAUACCUUUAUGCUGACUAAGAAAAUGGAGACAAUUGAAGAAUUGAAUAUGACGUAUCUCAAUCUUUUUGUUAAAUUGAUUAGAAAGUUAAUUUAUGCAUUGAAAGAUAUUUAUAAGUUAUUAAUCUAAAAUUGAGAAGUUGAGAAUUUUGGGACGUAAUUAAAGGUACUCAGUUAUAUUAAAUACCAUAUUUAGUGCAUUCUAAUUAUAAUUAUAUCAUUGUAUAAUUAAGAAAAAUACAUAAAUAUAUCUAAAUAUACAUAUCUAUAGUCGUUUUUGAUAAAUAACAUACUUAUAGGUGUUAAAUUUCAAUAAUUCUAUAAAUAUAAUUAUUUAUGUAAGUUACUCUUCUUUUUAUUUAAUAAAAGAAAUCUAAACUAAAAUAUAACUGUGACCUAAGUUUAGAAUAUUUUUUUCUUAUUUAGCAUAAGUUACUAGCAUAAGUUACUGACUUAUGCAUGCAUAAAGUUUAAUUCAAGUUUAUUGAGUUUAAUCGCAUACUUAAUUUUUAUCAUUCAUCUACCUCUACUUAACUACUCGUUAGAUAUCACUAAUACAAGUACUAAGUAAUUAUAUUCACCAAAUUAAUAUUACUCUAGGUCUACGACCGCUAGGUUACUUAGAAAGGGCACGCAUAUAUUAUAAAUAAAUUAUGGAGUACUUCUAUAACAAGUACAGAACGUUGGUUCGUUUGAUAUUUGUCGGCAUGUCAACCAUUCAUUUCUACCUAAUAAAUUAAAUUAAACAUUAGACAACAUUUUAAAGUUUUAGGCAAUGAUAAUGAGAAACUUCAAAAGAUCAAAAUGUUUCACGGACUUUACAAGGAGACACUUAUAUACAUAUUUAGAAAGCUAGGGAAAGGUCUAUCAAAUUCUUGUUACGACUUCUUUUAUAAAAUAUUGUAAUAGAUGUAAUUUUUCAACAAAAGUAAUUCAAAAAAUAUUCUCAUCGAAUGUAUAUAUAUUUGACCAUCCUUACUAAUAUAAUAACUUAAAAAGAGACGACACACAAAAGAAUAGCUGAAUGAUAUGGGUGCCCACAGUUAACAUCCAAAGAAUGAUCUUAUAAAGCUAUGGGUCAUUAAAACUUAGUUCACGUUCACGUUAAAAAUAUCUUUGAAGCUAAUAAUGACUACUAUGUUAAAGAGUGAUAAAAAGACUCUAAUGAGAUGGGUGAACUAAUUAUAAUGCUUGGACAAUCCUCCUCUAUUUGAGCUAGAUUUUGGUGUGUGAGUUAGGCCUAAAAUCUAAUUUAACAUUGUAUGCGAGCAAGACUUGUCUCACUUGACGUUGGGACCCUUAGAAUCAUAAUUGUCCACGCACCAUAUGCCAAGCACUGGGCGUGAAGUGAGAUGUUAAAGAAUGACAAAAGUCUCAUAUUGAUGGUAAAUGAGACGAGUGGACUCCUUAUAAGACUUGUGCAAUCCUCCUCCUUUGAACUAUAACUUUUGGGGAUGAGUUAGGCGUAAGACCUAAUUUAAUAUACCAACUAAAAGAAUGUGAAAUAAGUAAUUGUCAAAAAAAUUAUUACCGUUAUUACUCUAAAAGGACAACUUGAAAGCAAAAUUAUAUUAGAAGUUUUAGACGAGAGGCCCAUUACAUAUAUUUAGACAUGAUCAAUUGAAAUUUUCCUUCAAAACAUGAGCAAUUAGCAUUUGAUGAAAAAUAUUGGUUGAAUCCAUUGGUAUUCUCUCGAAGUUGGCAUCAAAUUUUAUUUAAAAAAUUUAAUUAGAUUUUUUUGUUCAUUUUGAAUACUUAUAGUAAGCUUUUAUCGUGUCAUUUCGAUAUUUUUUUUAUUUCCAGAUCCAAUUUAAGUGCGUGUUGACAAACGCCUUUGUUGGAGGAAAAAAAAAAAGACCAAUCUUCAAGUGACAAAUAAAUUCAUUUUUAAAAGAAAAAGAAAAACAUCACUUUUUUUUUCUCCAGAUGUGUAAUCCUAUGCCCCAGACCCCCUUUCUUCAUCUUCUUCCUAUUCCAACAAGAACAUAAAAAUCUCCCAACCAUUUCGUUCUCAGAAAAUUCAUUCUUCAUCUUCUUUUUAUUUUGUGCCUUGAAACUAUUAUUUUUUUUAAUAAAAAAAACCUCUUCUCCUCCGUUAUCGAUGUAUAAUCUCUUCUUAUCCAACUCAUUUCCUCCAUCUUUUCUAUUAUGUAUUUUCUUUUACCGGAAGUCAUUAUGACUUGUAGCAGCAGAUACAAAUAUAAGAAUUUCACUUUUUUAAAAUAUUCAUUUAUAUUAUAGUGGAAAAGAAGUGAAAGAAAAUAUAAUAGUUGUGUAUUUUAAUAUUUUGUACUAGUAUUGAAUGAUGGAUAAAAAAUUAAAUUUAAUUUUUAAGAAAAAAGAAAAAACUAAGUAAUGUACAAAUUAAACUUAAAACCAACAAAAAUUAUAUGCUUUUCCAAAAGUUAUGUGAUGAUGAGGGGCGAUCUAUGGUUCUAUAGAUGCUCAUAUGAAAAAAAUUAAUAAUUUAUCACUAUAAUUUUUUUCGUUUAUCCUUAUUAUUAGCUAUGAUAACAUUUCUCUAAAUUAUAAGAAAUUGUUAUUCUAUUUAUUGGUCACUAUUAAAAAUAAAACCUGUGAACCGGUGAAAUUUUAUGUUAUGAAAUAUGAUUUUUUUGGUUAUCCGCAUCAGUUCGAUGAAAAAUGUAGGGUGAAAAAUCAAUUCUAACUAAAAUAGUGAAAAACUUCCUUAAGUUUCAAUAGGAAUACAAUGCUAUUUUUUUCUCACCAAUUCAGUUAAAAUAUCUAAAAAAGAACAUUUUUCUAAUAAAAAAAUUGAUUUUUUUUAAAUAUGUCUUUUAUAGAAUAAUAAUGAACAAGUAUAAAUUUUUUUCCGAAAAGGAGAAACAAAGUUGCCUGAAAUUAAAAGUAAGUUGUUAAGGAAUGUCACCAACUAACGUUAUAUUGAACAAUAUCUUCGUUAAUUAUACGUGAAAUUCUUUAUAAAAAAUACAUGUCAACAAUGAAAUAUGAACCCUGAUUAAACAACACUAAAAUAGUACUAAAUACCCAUCCAAGAGCCAUUGGAUCAAUUAGAUCAGUUAUUCAUUAGAUUUUUUAUGUUAAUUUUAUAUAAACAAUAUUUAAUUUUUAUACACGUAUAUAUAUCGUAAAAAAAUUAAUAGGUGCUCGAAUACCCGACGAACUCCACCUAGGUCCGCCCUGGGAUUACUAACCUCAUUCUGAAGUUGAAACAUCCGUUAGUAGAAUAAAGUAACUUCAAAAACAUUUUAAACAUAAAAGAGAAGGGAAUAAUGAUCGAACCCUUAUAUGUACACAUUUCCUCCUCCUUUUUUAAAAUUUAAUAAUAAUAAAAAUACUCCCCUUAUUGUUGUUGUAGAGAGUGGUCCAAUUAUCUAUGUAGUAAUCCUUAGAAUAUUUCUCCAAAUUCGAGGAUCCAAAAAUGUCAUUUAAGAGACACCAAAAAUAGGGUAUGAAUUAUGAUAAUCUUCAACUUCAAAGACUACUCAAUUAUCCAUAAGCCACAUGUAAACGUGCAUAUGGAUGGGUAAACUAAAAUACUAGUACUUCCUUCAAUUAUUAUUUAAAUAUUAAUAGUAAUAUAUAGGGCAUUUAAUUUUCUAAAUUUUUUGAUGAUGAAAAAUGAAACGAAGUGAUAUAAAAAAAAUAUGAAAGGAGAAGCAAUACACGUGGGCUUCAAUGUGGUAGGAUUUAAUCUAUUUCGUAUCAAAUUGAAAAUUACCUAUCAUUAGAACAAUUCACAACAUCGUAGGGGAAAAAAAUGGCAAAAAUUUAGCUAGAAUGAUAAUUUUUUUUAUGUUAUUUUAUUUUUUUAAUUUCAAUAUAUUUAAACUAAAAAAAGGAUUAACUUAUGUUAAAAUAAAAAAUAUUAUAAUUUUUUUAAUUUUAUUAUCAAAUUCUGAUCAAAAUUUUCUGAUUGUUUAGUACUUUCCUAAUUUUACUUACUUGUAAAAACAUGGUUAUCUCUAAUUGGCCAAUCCAACCUAAAUCAUUAAAAGGUCCAUAAUAUAUACUCCUUUCAUUUCAUCAUUUCUUCUUUUAAGUACAUAAAUGUAAAAAUUAAACAAGAUAUUAUGGCAGUAAUAAGUAUGUUGACAAAAUGGUCCUGCUGGAGCUUACACGUACGGGUGUGUUUCGUACAAAGAAAGUUAUUUCAAAAAACAAAAUUAAAAAAUUAUGAGGAAUUCAAUAUUAUGAAAUCUAUUUUUUCAUUAAAGGAGAAAUAUAAUGUUGUUAUUUGCUCUUAUUUACCCUAAAAAAAAUAAUACUUCACUUGAAGAAAUUUCAUCAAAACAUUUUGAACCCCCAUUGACUUUACAGUUAUAUCAAGUAUUAAUAAUCACAACAAAAUACAUAUAAAUAAUUUAAUUCAUCUGGCUUUCCAUGAGAAUGCAUGUAUAUGUAGCCCCCAUUUGCUUCAAGUCUAAGCAAAUUCAGCUAAUUAUAAUUUUAUAAAUUUAUUAAUACCAUUAUCUUAAAUUCCUUAUGUGACACUAUUUUAUUAUUUAUUAUUUUGUUCACAUAAAAAAAAAGUUAAAAAGUUGAACCAGGUUGUUCAACCACAAGACUGGCUGACCAAAUGAUGGUGGAGCUGGGGUCCCACCAAAGUCCAUAGCAAUGUGGGACCCUUAAAUAUGUUCGAAAGGGUAAUUAGAAAUGAUAUAUGAUGGGGAAAAAUUGUCGCACACUAGAAAAUCAUCUACUUAUGAAUGUGUCAAUAAAGCCACACAAUGGAUUAUUAUUCUUGCAUGCAUCUGUCACUUGAUCCCUUACACUUGUGCUUUUCUUUUUUUCCUUGUAGGUGAAAAAAAAUAUAAUUUAUUUAUUUAAAUUAAAAAUAUUUAUAUUUAAUAGUUUUAUAUAAAUUGUUAUUUUUUAUAUUCAAUAAAAUAAAUAAAUUGAAUCGUGUAAUAUGAUUCUACUCCACACCCAUCUCAAGAUUGUUAUGGAUUAUCAUAUAUUUUUAUAUGGGACCCUCCAAGUCUCACACCAUGCCCCUUUCACCUCUAAAUUAAUUUCCACUCAAGAUAGAUAGAUUCUUUAGACCUGAUAGACCUUGUCCCUUUCACGUCUCUUCAAUUCCCACCUCUUGAAAUUUCUGUUUCCAAACUAUUCUUUUUUGUUAGUGCACAAUUAGAGGUUAUUCACUAAUUAGAUAAGAAAUAAGUUAUUUAUAUAUUAUUUAACUUUAGAUAAUUCUUGUGACGUUUGAUAGAUUGAUGGAUAGAAAGUAAAUUAUUUGUAUGUAAAAUUAAUAUAAUAUUUAGUACACAAAUUUAAAAAAUUGAGAUAAUUAAUACAUGUAUAAUCUUGCAUAACUAAAGUACAUUUAUACACGUAUAACCUUCGAAUAACUAAUAUCCAUGUAACAUAAUACAUAAGGUCCUUCGUAACUAAUUCUUAUAUUGCUAAUAUUCACUAGCUCUAAUCAGUUAUAGCUUACUAAAAAAACUAAUCAACAAUUAAGAUGUAGGAAAAGUAUAAUCUUAGGAUUAAUAAUCACUAAAACUAUGUUAAUGCUUUUAUUUUCUUCGUUCGAGCUCGAAAUUUUCGAUUAAAAAAAGAGGAUCGAUUUAAAUAUGUCAGUACACCUUUUGAUCGUCAUGUCUCUUAAGUUAAGUGUACCAAAGAGUGUUCCUUGCGGAGAACCAAUCAAUUUUAUUAGUAAAACGAUGACGUUUAAACUUAAUUUUUUUAAACAAGCAAUUAAAAGUACGAUUAUCUUUGCAUAAAGAGAAACAUUAGUUAAAUUUCGGAGUAACCAUUUGCUUCCAGUCUGUUAGAGUGCAAAGUGCAUUUGCAUAUACUCAUAUUCACGUGGCAAUAACGAUAGUGAAAUAUUUCCUCCAUUUUAUUUUACUUGGUCCCGUUGAGAUAAUAUAUUUCUUAAAAAAAUUUUAAUUAGAAAUAUAUUUUAUUUUCUUAGUAAUAUUUUGAAACUUCAAACCUAACUAUUACUAUGUUAAUUUUUAAUAAUGAGGAUAUAAUAUGAAAAAAAUAAUGUGAUAAAGGUCUCUUAAGUUGCUGAAAUCAACCAGCAAAAUAAAACAUCAAAUUUUGUAUAGGACCCAAGUAAAACCAAAUAGAGGGAGUACUUAAUUUGUUCCAAAUUAUUUACUUAAAAUAGAAAUCUCCGUUCGUUAUUAUUUGUCAUGGUUUUAUUUUUAGAGUCAAACUAUAAAAACUUUGAAUAACAUUUUAAGAUGCAUUUUUUCAUCAUAUUAAUAUGAAAAAAAUUGUAAUUUAUAGUACUUUUCAUAUAAUUUUAGAAUAUCUAAUUUUUUUAUUUAAAAUAUCAAAUUAUUGUAAUUUAAUUUACCUUUAAAAAUUAGUCAAUUUAACUUUCGAUAAAUACAACAUGACAAAUAUUUCCAGACGGAGAGAGUACAUUUUACACAUUUUUCUCAAAAUUUUAAAUUUUACAUUUAAAUUUAUGACUUGCUGUGAUACUUUAUAUUAAUUAAUUAACUAACUUUAAUACAAUCUAUUAUGUUUAUUUCAUUAUGUGGCAGUUUGACUUCGACAGAGAAGCAGCAUUUAUAAACGUUUACUCUUUUAGACAUCUCAUUUAUAGUUGCAUCAGAAGUUUAGAACUCGUAGCAAUCAAUUUUGUGAAUUUUUUAAUAUUAAUAAUGACUGUUAUUCCAUUAUAAAACUUAAUUAAAAUAACAGACUCAAAUUUUAAAAUGUGUGAAUUCUAGACAUAUAUUAAUUUAUAGGUACAUCUUUCUUGAGUGAACUUUUAUCCAAAAAUAUAUAGGAUUUAAACCAAAUUAAAUUAGUGAAUUAUACCCAACUUGUACCUUAUAUGCUAGAUUUUUUUAUUUUUUUUUAAAUAAAAAAAAUUAGAGGAAGAUGAAGGGAUAAUAGAAAAGGGAUAAAAAAGAUAGAUAAUCAAACUCUUACUAUUUAUUAACAAGGUAAAAAUCUAGGUAGUCGACUAACUAAACUAUUUAGUUUCUACAAUUGAGCUGCUAAGAUUCCUCAUGAACCUCUGAAAAAAUUGUCUUCCAAUUUAAACACAUCCAAUCAAUUUAAUUUUCAAUUAUUUUAUCCACGAAUUUAUUUAUUUCAUGUUGAAGGUAAAUAUUGAUGGUUUGGGUAAAAUUUAGAACCAUCAAAAUUAAUUGAUUUAAUAAUGAACGAGUUAUUGACACAUUUAAAAAUAACUUAGGCUGAAUUGUUGAUCAUAACAACUCAUUCAAUUUUUAUUAAGUUUUAUUUGCUUUGUUUAUUUAUUUUUUAUUUUUUUAAUAUUUUUUUAUUAUGACGAUAUAUAACAUAUCAAAUUAAAAAAUAUUUUAUUAAAAAAAGUGACAAAAAAUUUAUGAGCCAAUUUGAACUAUAAUCAAUCUAACUUUUGAUUAAUUAAAAUAUACUAAAUUAAAAUAUGAAAGAAUCAAAAACCUAUCAAAGGACAAGUUAUAUUUUCGAAGCUAGUAUUGCCGUCUCUAAAACCUACAAAUAUCUAAAAUAUUCCAAACUUCUUGUUUAAUCAAAUUUAACAGCUAGUGGAGUAUUUUCUGUAGUACCAUCAUGCAAAUUAAUUAUAGGAUCCUCAAAUAGUGGAGUAUCCUACUUCUUACGAAUAAAAAUUAUCAUUAUUUUAGUGUUCGAGUUAGGUGGUGUAUUGAAAUUAUUCUUAUUAUAUAUAUUUCUUAUGUUUUAUAAGUAUAAAUAUCAAAUAAUUUUAUUUUUUAUAACUUUGAUAAACAAAAAGCUUAAUUAUUUCCUUCAUCUAAUAUUAUAUUUUAUCCUAAUUUUUAAAAAUAUUGUCUCCAGUUAUUUGUCAUUUCAAUAGUUCAAGAAGAUGUUAAUUAUUUUUAUCCAUUUUAUCCUUAGUAUAGUGAUUGUUUUCUAAUACUAACAAUAAAUCAAUAAAGUAAAUAUUUAAUAGAGAAAAUAAUAUAAUAAGAAAUGCAUAAGAUCGAUUAUUAAAAGGAGUAAUAUGUUUGCAUUAGAAAGUAUAAUGACCAAGUUUAUUUAUAUAUAAUCAUCCUCGAAUAGGAGGAAACCAUAGUGAUUAGUCAGAGAAUUCCUUUUUGCUUUAAUAUAAUAUAAUAUUAAACGUAAAACUAAAAUAAUAAAUAAAAUUGUUAUUCUCCCAACAGAUUUGAUCAUCCCAUAGGAAAGAAGUCUAAUUAGACCCAAGAGAUUUUCAUUUCCAACCUGCCAAUAUUCUCUGAUGAAGAUCUAAACCCAUGGCAGACCAAAGAUAUGCCUUUGCUCGAAAACCGCAGCCCUAAAUUAAAUUACUUUAUCUUUCUUUAUUCAUCAUGUACUUCUAACUAACUUUAUUAAUUUAACCUAAUGUGCUUUUAAAUACUAGUAUUCUCUUCAUCUCAUCUUUACAAAUUUUCAACUUCAAUGCUUUUUUUUAAAGAUUAAUCGAGAAAAAAAAUUAGAUAAAACCUUGAACUAUCGUAAAUGAUAUUUCGAUACUUUUUGUCAUACUUUUGAAAUAUUGGUGUCUCUGCCAUUCAAAAAAUUAAAACAUAUAUAUCAUUUAUACUAACAGACAUACACGUGUAAUAACCUUAUCCAUCGAUCUGAUAUUUAUUAAAUAUCGGGUCAACGAAUAAAAUUGUGUCAGCUUGUCCCUAUUAAGUCUACUGUUUGAGUGAAGGACAUACAUGCUCUAGUUUUUGAACAACAGAGGUAUCAAUGUCCCAAAAGUAUGACGACAAAUAUCUCUAUAACAUGUAUAAUAGUUCAUAGAUUUUUUCAAUAUUUUUUCUCAAUUUAAUUUAGUAACAUUACUUUGUUAAAAUUAGUGUCAAGUCAAAAACCAGAUAAGUUUGAAACAAAAGAGUACUCUAAUAUUUAUUUUUUUGAAAAAUAAAAAACUCAAAGGUGCAUAACUGACGUGUCCAACUUUAAUUUUUGGUUCAGGUAUGCCCACCCUCUCCCCCCAUCUACCAAAUCCAUUUGAUGAUUUCAAAAGGGAAUGUGUGCGUGUUGCUUUCAAUUCAUCAUGUCAUUAUGAAUUAAAUAUUCAAACCAGUACAACUGUUACUCCUUAUAUAUUAACUACUGUAUAUGUAACUAGUUAGGCUAGGGCAUAUGCUAAUUAAUAUCUCAAAUUAAUGCACAAUAUAUAUAUAUAGUAGCCCAAGCUAAAGAACUUUAGGAAUUGAAACUUGCCCGUUGCCACAUUAAUAGAACUCCUAAAUCAUUCCAUUGAAUAGUCCAUUAAGUCUUGUAAUAUAUCAACAAAUUAAAAUGAUCAUGCAUGCAAGUUCAUUUACAUAUAUAUGUUCUAGAUGGAAUUAGCAACCUACCCCUCCACAGCUUCUACAUAAAAGAGGCGUUUUAUAGUGCUGGUUCGUGUGAGGUGGUGAGAGUAAACGCGAAUUCAAGAUUUAAAUUUAAUUCUGUCACACACUUAUAUAUGAUUAAUUUGAAUGGAAAAAUAAAAUAAAUGAAGGUUUAGGAGGGCACAUGCAGAAAAGGCAGAGAGGAGCCAAGUUGUCUAUAUCACUUUUUUGCCAAAGAGAUGAGCUCACCACCAAUCUCUCAUCAGCUCCAUGCAAAUACUAACAUUCUCUCUUUAUAUAUAUGGUUGUUUCCUUUUUGUAGACUUUUUCAUACUCUAUAAACCCUAAAAAUAUAACAAAGCAAAAAGAAAGUGUUUUUUUUUCUUCUUCUUGCUUUUCGAACUACGUAACUGAUAGAGUUAAACAUUAAUAAAGCUGAAUUAAAGCAACAAAAAAGAUAAGGCUCUAAUAACAUACAAACACAUUUAACUUUUUAGAUUAAAAGUUUGAAAAAUACAAACCUAACCCAAUCCAGAAUUUCUCUAUAAGAAGGUAAAUACAUCAUACAAUAAUUUUAGCUAGCUAGGCUAAGGUUAACUCCCUUUUUCCCCUUCAUGUCUCUUUGUAUUAUAUUUUCUGCGUUUUACUAAAAAAACGCAGAGAUUAAUUACCAUUGAAAAGUUUCUCUCAUUGAAGAAACCUUAAAUCUCAUGGAGAUGGGCCGAACCCUGGAAGAUCAGGCCACUGAUGAUCAUUCGGACCAAGAGAUGCAUUAGCAGCGGAGCUACUAGCAGCUCCGCUGCUAGUGUUACUGGCUGAGUUAUUUGGCCAAAUAUUAUUAUUGUUGUUGUUGAUGAACCUUUGUGUCCAUGAACCCAAAGGCCUUGCAGGUUGAAACUGCAACGUUUGAUCAGAUGGAAAAAUGAUGAUUCCAAAUUGGGCUUUUGGUAAAAUCCAGUACUCUCCAUUUGUUGAUCAAUUUGAACCUUAGGAGGAGGAGUUGGAAUAUUGAAAUUACCAAAUUGGUUGUUAUUAUUAUUGGUGCCUGAAAUUACUCCUAGCUGAGAUUGAUUAUUGAUACCUUGGGAUAAUUGACUCAUUGAUUGCAUGGCAGCUAAAGAAGAUAAAAAUCCCCCACCACCAGCAGCACCGGUAUACAGAGAACUCAUUGACGGAAGUGGUGGCGGUUGAGAUCUCGAAUUGUUACCUGAGAAAAAAGCAGCUGCAGCAGCUGAUAAAUUCGGUAUCUGCGGCGGAUAUAGUACUUGAUGAUGAGAUCUAGAUGAUGAACUUUCACCAGCUGAUGAAGAUGAACCGCCGCCCUUCAUUGUGCGUUUACCUUUACGGCAACCACCGCCGACGGGGACGUUCCUUAGGGUUCCACCUUGAGUCCAGUACCUCCUACACGUCUUGCAGAAAUAGCGAGGCUGAGUCAAACUGUAAUUAUUGUAGUAGCAAAACUUGGUAUUGUUUGAAUCACAACGAGGGCAUUUCUGCGGUGGUGGUUGUGCUGGCGAAGCUGAGUUGUUUUCCGGCAUCUUCAUUCUUCUUUGCUGCUGAUUCCGAUCAUUCUCUCCCGAUGAUCUUCCACCUAAUUGAUCCUCCAUCUCACUCUUUUCCACUUUUUCCUUGAUUGAGAAAAGAAACUUAUUUCAAUCAGUUUUUAUAGUGAAACUUCUCUUCUUCCACAAAUCACAAAUUCAGAUUAAGUAAAUGCACACACAUGCAAGUCAACCCCUUCAGUCCCUAGAGAUAUGAUUGUAAUUAAAUCUCAAACUUCUCGUCAACGUUUAUACGGUCAAUCCUUCCUUUGAGAUUAUCUAAUCAUAUAUAUAAGGAACUAAAAAUUGAAGAGCAUGAGAAUUUCUAUAAAAAUCCAACUAGUAGAUAAUUACCCUUUUGUAAAUGAGGAAAAUAGAGUUUAAAAAAAGACAUAUAUAAGGAAAUAAAUAAUAACUACCACCACCUGCCUGCCUUUUUAUGGUUAAUCUUCAGUAAAAAAAAAUAGUCAGUUUACACAAAGACAAUGUUUUACUAGUAGCUUAGACAAGUUUAGAAGGAAAAAAAAAAGAGUUGGGUUGGGGUAGGGUGGGUUAAAGGGGGUGGGGUAAGAGGCGUGCGUGGCUACAUAUGAAUGUUCAGAGAAUAGUGAGAUGGGACCGAACGAAGAGGUAUGGUUUAUGUUGUGUUUCUGUUGCGUCUGUGUUCAAUCUCGUCUCAACAAAUAAAGGAAAGAAGCCAUAAUUUUCAGUUCAACAAACUUCUGAGCAGACAAGAAUUUCCCCUAAUAACGACAAAUUAGUUUUGCGAAUUUUAAUUAUGGACAAGUACAGUAGCAAUAGGAGUAUGUGGACCACUAGGGGAGGAAUUUUGAGGCGGCGCCGGCGCCGGCGGAGAGAGGGCGGCAGGAGGUGGAGGAUCUGGCGGUUAAUUGUUAUAUCAAAUGGGUUUUGUGUUAGCUGUGUCAGCUUAUUAGUCAUUUUUUAUUCUCCACUUUAAUUUUUUUAUUUCAUUCUCUUUCUCUCUCUCUCACACACACACUUGUAACUCUGUCAUGUUCAUGCUUUAUUAAAAAGUAACAGACCCACGUCCAUGGUUCAUAAGAUUAUUUACACCGAAAUUGGCAACUCGAUUGACUUGACAUAAAUUACCCUAAGGCAACUCAAUUUAUUUCACGCAAAUUAUUAGUUUUAUUUUUGUAUUUAUUGAUAAAAUAUGUCUUAUGAUAACUAGCUUAACGUGGAUAUAUUAUUGAUUUAUUACAUGAUAAUAACAUAAUAAUAAGUGACUUCAAAUUUAUAAAAAGUUGAGAAUGUGCUGGAAAGUACUUUUAAAUUUAACGAGAAUUUAAAAGAUAGAUUUUACUUAUAUUGUCAGAUUGAUAACGUAUUUGAAAUCUAAUUAAUCAAAUACAUGUUUUUAAGACAAUUGAAUGAUUCAAUACUUUUCUCUUGUUAAUAACUUGGAAAAGGGUUUCCCUCUUUUCUCAUUUGAGAGUUCCUUAGCUAUGUGUUUUAAGAUGUUUCAGUAAAGAUUUGAUAAAUUUAUUAUAUCUUAAGCUUUGAAUAUUUCAGCUACAGUUUGUUCUGAUCGGGUAUCAGAACAUAAAGUAAAUUAUUUUUCUUAAAGUAAUAUUUAUAAUAUAAUUCUGAAAAAAAACCUUUUCAUGUAAUUUCAAGGGUAUAUUUAGCAGUAAGUUAAUCACAGAUAACAUACAGAAGGACCUUAUUAUUUCAAAAAUAAUAAUAAUUAAAUUAUAUAAACACAGUUUAAACUCAAAUUGAAUAAGUUAAUAACAUAAUAUUUCCCUGGAAAAAAAUAACAUUAUAUUCCUCAAUUUUUUGCCCUUGAGCCAUUUAAAUUUAUAUUCAUAAAACGAAACAGAAGCGGAUGCUAACUUACACGUAAUUCGAUUAAUUAGCUAAGGAGGUUAAGUGUACGGAUUGAGCUGAAUGUAUGUUUACUCAAGCUAAUACAUGUAUAACCAGCUCAAUUCACACUAAGUUUUAGUUUUAUCAUCUGUAUGUAUAAUUUGUUAUCUACUAAAUUCUAGUUAUUUGUAAUUAUUAUUGUUAUUACUAUAUAAUACAUCAGUCAUAAGAAAUCUUUUGUCCAAAUUCUCAUGAAAUAACUUUGAGUUAUAUAUAGACUCAACUUUUAGCUAGAUGUAUCAAAAUGUAUCGAAUUUAUAAUAAAUUAGACGAAUUAACGAUUCAUACAAAUUUAAAUUGAUAUCGAUAUCGAUAUGGCACUUAGGUGAGGCACGUGACAUAAUGCAUAGCUUUAUUGUCGGAGGAGCUAUGGAUGUGGUGCUAGAAUUAAGCCAAUGGAAGUUACAACUGCCCCCAAACCAUACAAAUUAAGCCCAUACUCCUUAUUUACAUAUGUUGUGAGAAAAUAUAAAUUGAAAUAAACCUACUCUUCCAGUUAUAAAUAAUAUAUAUUUAUAUGCCUACGCCGUAUCUUCAAUGAAUCAUAUAUAUUUAUAUAUUUAUUUAUAAGUAACUAUGCUAUUCCUAGACGUGGAUAAUAACUAUUUGUAGAGGUUGCUAAUUGAAUAUAAUAGCCCCUGCUUGGAUAGCACCAGCGGUUAAAUGUUGAAGUCUAAAUUAUUUUUUGGUUAUCACAUGAUUAUUAAAUUAACUAAAAAGAAUAAGUAAAAUUUAUCAUUUCCAAACGCACUUUGAUGUCGCUGCAACAUUUUGUUAAGGCCCAACACUACUGGGCCUAUCUUCAAUUUUUUCUGAAAGAUAGGCGGAGCCGGACAUUAUAUAAAAAGUGUUUAUAAUUUUAAAAAGUACUUUUUGAUGUGAAUUUUAACUAAUAAAAAUGUUUAAAAACAUUUGAAGUGAUGUGAAUUUUAACUAAUAAAAAUGUUUAAAAAUAUUUGAAGGGAUCAUACGAACCCUCAACCUUCAGCUCCGCACUUUCAACACUCAUUUUAUCAUUGAGCCAACUCCUAUAAUUACACAAGUGUGUGCAAACCCAAAUAUAUAUUAAAAAUAUCGUAAAUUUAUUUCGUAAGUACGAUAUAACUUUUCGAGACAAAGGGUGCUCACUUGCGCACCCUUUAUUAGUUGUAGCUCUGCUCCUGCUUCACAAGUUACAACCAAUAUAUCGAUAUCGAUAGUUCAUAACCUACGAAAAUACAAAUUCGUAUGAAUUUUACUUGGAGCUUAGGUGAAUAAACCUAUCGAAGUUGGACCCAAAUUGCAAUUUCUCAACUCUUUGUUUGGAUAGUUAUAUUUUGUUGUUAAAUUAAAUAUAAUAUUUAUUUUUAUUUAAAUUCUAUUAUUUUAUAUCAUUCAAGUUCAUUAUUAGGUACAUAAAAAAAGAACACAUUUUAUAUAACAACUAAUUAAAUCACAUCACUAUCCUUAACAUUUUCUAUCAUUCAUUAAAAUACAAUACUAUAUAAUAACAAACGAUCUAAUCUAUCGAUCGUUGAAACAAAUAUAAUUCGAAUACAAUAUAUGAAGCAAUACAUUACAACCAUCCAAAAAAAAGUGUAAAGGAAAUAAACUUAAAUUUCUUUUUCCCUCUUCCAAUAAUCUUCCCUCUCCUAUUCCACCUUUAAGAAAAUAAUCUUAAUGUCUAUUCUCCUCUUUCUAUAAUCUUCCUUUUCCCACUAACUUCCAAGAAAAUUAUCUAAUUAUCUUAAUGUCCAUUUUCUAUAAUUCCAUAAAUCUCCCAUUCCCUAUUUCACCGUUAAAAGAAAUAAAUAUUAAACGUCCAUUUGCCUCUUCCAUAAUCUUCCUUUUCUCCCUUUCCUAUAUAUUGCAGCUUACCUUAGAUGCUAUUUCAAAUUCUUAACACAAAAUUUAUGUUUGUAAAAAUGGAAGUGAUAUUUCCAACUAAAAAGAACUCCUGACAUUAGAAAAUAUUCAUACUUGUAUACAAAAAUAAGCAAAAAGGAAAUAAGUCCUGCAACAUAUUAGCCCAAAAGAAAAACCUUUUAUCACUAAAAUUAUUCAAAUCAAACUUCCACUUCCUCUUUUCCUCAAAAUUUCUUAGAAUGACCUGAACCCCCUGCUGCAGGCCUCCUCUGCUCCACCACAUCUUCAUCCAUAGUUUUCUCCCUCGUACGAUCUUCGAUAUAAUCAUCAACGGACUUAUUCUCGUCCUCCGCUGAACCAACAACAGUUUCCUUGAUCUUCUGACCCGUCUCUUUCGCCGCUCCCAUAGCAUCCUGCAUUGCUUGCUUAGCUUUAUCAGCUAUUGCCUGUGCUGUCUCAGCAACUUUACUUGCCCCUUCCUUCGUGGCCUCUUUCGUAUCGUGCGCGUAGUCUCUCGUCUUAUCAGCCAUGGACUCUGCAGUGUCUUUGGUCUUCUCCUUCAUGUCGUGGGCUCGCUCUUUGGCAUUCUCCUUAGUGUUAUGUGCCAUUUCGGCUGCCUUGUCUCUCCCUUCUUUUGCUUUAUCGGCUGCCUUUGCAGCCAUAUCGUUUGUCUUGUCCUUCAUGUUCUCUGCACUUUGCUUUGUUUUAUCUUUCAUGUCUUUGGCUGUACGCUUAGUUUCGUCCAUGGAUUCUUUUACAUCGUCUUUCGUUUUAUCAGCCAUCUCUCUCAUAGGAGAUUUCUCUUCUUUAACACCUCUAUCGAAGUCUUGUCUUCUUUUUAAAUCCUCCGAUGCAUGGAUUCCCUUGAAACAUAAAUUGGAGACGCAGAAUCAAUGUAAAAUAUAUUGUUGAGGGCAAUAAAUAGUACUUGCUCUGUCUCAAUUUAUAUUGCUCUGUCUCAAUUUAUAUGAGUUAGAACUAGACUUUUUUAUAUUAAAUAAAAUUUUAACUAUAACACAAAUUUUUGUCAUUUUUCUUUCUUAAACUUUGCGCCAAAUCAAACUAGGCGUGGAACGUAACGAAGGGAGUAUAAUCUAAAUCCAAAGUUAAAAAGUAUAAAAAGAACAUGUACUAAUUAUUGAAUAUAGAUUCCAUCGGUUUAAUACAUGCAUAAGAAGACACAAUUUAAACAUAAAAUUAAAAGACAUUUGGUACUAUACAUUUCAAAAAGAAGAAAAAAAAAAUUAAAGAGUACCUCAGAGUGAUUAGGGGAAGAUGAGAAGCAGACAUGGGAGAUUUUGUGACGAAUAACGAGAGAUGUUGUUCGAGGAAUCGUCUUCGAAGGGUAAAAAAAGGAGACAUUGCGUCUAAGGAAAAUUGAAGAGGUUCUAGGAAGUGACUUUGACAGGUUCAAAAUGGCGUUUUUAGUGAUUGACAUCGCUGCCAUUGUUGUUGCUAUCACAAAAUUUAGGCUCGAUUCUCUGUGUGUGUGUGAGAGAUCUGUUGCAGUUUCUGUGUUGCAGUUUGCACAAGUUGAAAUGAUUUGGUAAUUUGCUUUGAUGUUAUAGUGACAGAGUUGCAAAGGAUGAAAAAAUUGGUGUCCUCGUGAGAGUAUGACACGUUUGUCUUGUAAACGCCACGUAUAGUGGAUGCAUUCAAAAUUGUUACACGACGUACAAAUUGUGAUUGGUGUUACCGAGGGAUAUAAUUGACCUUUUUUUUCCUCUCUCUCUUUUUUUUUUCAUUGGCACAGUUGUGCUUUGCUUUUCUCUUCUUCAUUUUUCUUUUCUCGCAUAAUUUUUGUACAUAUAGAAUUAAAAAAUACGAUUCUGCGAUGUUUUUAUAUCUCUUACACGUUGAAAUGAUUUUAGUUUUUAUUUAUAAUGAAAAUAUAAUAAGACUACUAUACAAUUGAAGCCUGAAGAUGUGGUAUUGCUGAUAUACUGUCGUGCCGAGUCAAGAAUCAGUAAUUGACUAAAAAAAAAAAACUAAUUAAUGAGAACUGUUUCAUCAAAAACAGAUUUUGGAAAAAAAAAACAGAGAAAAUUAUAAGCUAGCUUAUUAUUUUAAAAAGGGAAAAUGUACCAUGAUUAGACACGUACAUUCUAUUAUCUUCAAAUUUAUUUUAUAAAUAAUUUUUUAUUUCUUUUUUAUUUAUAUGACAUUUUAUAGACCUAGUAUGUGUUGAUAAUUUUUCAAUUCUGAUGCUACGUAAAUCAAAAAAGAAUAAAAAGUUAUUUAUAAAAUAAAUUUAAAAAAGUAAUAAAACCUUAACAAAUAUAUUUCUAAAAAUUUGAAUAUAAAUUAAAAGAUAUUUACGUAUUUUCCUUUUUUAAAAUUAAAGAAAAGCGAGAACGAUAUAACACUAAAUAGAGUUUAUCUUAUUGUUAAGCUUUUAACUUCCAAGAACUUCAAGAGUUUGGGCUUUUUUAAUUAUUAACUUGCUUAGUACUCUUUAUUAUUAAUUAUUUAUUCAUUUUUAAUUAACAUAUUUAUUAAAAUCGAUAUUAUUUUAAUUUUAUUAAUUAUAAAGUGAACGAAUUAAAAAACUUUUAUCAGCAUUUAUAUCUUACGAAAUAAGUGUACAUCCAGAUUGAGAUUUAUCAUACAUCAAAAACGUAUAUCAAACUUAUCAUAUAUAUAUAUAUAUAUAUAUAUGAAGUGGAUGAAUUAAAACUUUUUUAUCAGCAUUUAUAUCUUACGAAAUAAGUGUACAUCCGGAUUGAGAUUCAUCAUACAUCAAAUAUAUAUAUAUAUAUAUAUUAUUUUAUUAUUAUUUUUUUGUUUUUUUAUUUUUAAAAAAAGAGCUAAAACCCUCCACUCGGGCUUUACAAUUGUGCAUGACACUGUCUUGAGAUUUGAAUAUUGUGUGAAACUUAUUCUGGCUAUCAUUCAUACUAAGGCAUAGUGGUUUGCAAAAGUAAAGCUAGCUAGCUACUAAUUAAGUCCAUGGUACUUAACUAGUCAAAACUACAAAUAAAAAAGCUAAAAGAGAAAACGAUCAUUUUCAAGAGGGUUGUGGUUUCUUCUCAACAAUGGGUCUCCAAUUGACAUUCAAGCCUUUAUCUUCAUCCACAGGCUUUCCUCCUGCUUCUUUAGCCAAUUUCUUCUUAAGCUCUUUCUCAUCUUCCACCACAGUUUCCUCUUGAACAUUCUCUGGAUCUAUAUUUCCCACCACUUUUUCUUUCAACUCUUCAGCAGUAUCCUCGAUAGCUUUCCACGCAUCUUGAGUUGUUUUAGUAGCUUUAUCCUUCACCUCCUUCGCUUUAUCAGCCAUUUCAGAUACUUUACCACCCGUUUCAUCACUAUCGGUCCCGUACAGCUUCCUGCUCUGUUUUUCCGAUGGCUCCUCUGUUGCAGCAACAUAUCCUCCCUUUAAUACAUGAGUAGUAUUCUAAGCAUGUUUAGUUUCAUGCCACAAAACAAUAAUUUAAAUAUUUUUUAUGAUUAAAUGUGGAUUCAAUUAUUAAUGUAUGUAAUAUUUGAUAAAUUUCAAAUUCUAGGUGGAUUUAUGGCUUGUUCAUUAUAUUUAGUGGUACAUCUAGUAUUUAUGUAGGAAGACUCACCUUCCAUAUUUGACGACCGAUGAAGACAGUGGAGGCUCGAUGUGGGAAGGCUUUAGAGAGGUUGAAGAUUGAUUUUUUGCUUAACGAUGCCAUUGAUGCUUCCUUUCCAACACUUUUUCUUUUUGGUUAAUGAAAUGAAAACUCAACAUGAUUUUCAAGGUUUUAAUUAACUCUUUUUCGUCACACUUUUCUUGAGAAUUUGGUUUACAUAAAGGAAGGGGGUUGGGGUUUCUUGAGAGUGACACGUUUAGAGGUUUAUGUGCCACUUAAUUGCUACUGCUGGACACGUGUACAGGGUGCCCCCAUGUUAAUUUAAAGAUCACAUCAGUGGAACGAAAUGAUAACUAUCCGAUUAUAUCAUCAUAUUUAGCAUGAUUUUAUUUAAAAGAUGGAACAGACUGUUAAAAUGUGCUAAAAAUGGUCUUUUUUGGUACUAUAUGGAUGAUGUUUGAAACAAUAGAAUAACUAAAUGGAUGAACAGUUCUAAUAUGUAAUGUGAAAUUGGUCCAGGCUGAGAAGUAGACAACUAGUGUUAAAUUAUGAAUUUAUAGAAGAAAGAACCUGUUUGAGAAGGCUGCAUUUUGAAAUUUACAUAAUUAACAAAUAAUCACUUGCAGAAAAAUUAAAUGGUACAUCUGCAGCUAUCCCAGUUGAAACAUUUUUUUUUCUACAAAAAUCUUAAAAGAUACAAAUCGAAGCAACAGGAAGAAAGGAAGGUCUUCAUUUCCAGAGUUCUUCCAUAGGAAUGCCACGUUCUUGAGCAACUUCACUGAAUUGCCUCAUCUGCUGAACAGCAACAACAGUGGCUCUUGCAUUGUUGAGGGCAUUGUUACUUCCAAGCUGCUUACCCAAAGCAUUCUCAACACCAGCCAUUUCAAGAACGAUCCGCACAGCACCACCAGCAAUCACUCCAGUACCAGGGGCUGCUGGUCUAAGCAUCACCCUUGCUGCUCCAAAGUCUCCCUCAGAUCUGCAAUUUAGUUGUUCAUAAAUGUUAGAUCCCCAACUUAUAUACCAAUAUCAACAUGAUUCUUCUUUUUUGGACAAUGGUGGUGUCCCCGCCAACUUGCAGACUAUUCAUCAGCUAUCUUAAACUAAUACACGUGCAUACGAGUAACUCUACCCACUAAAACUUAAAUAGAUAUAAAGAAAUCUUCUAAAGUUUUUUUCUCUACUGAAAUUUGAAUAUCAUCCACUUCAUUGGUACUAAUUCUUUCACAAUGAGCUGCAUAAUUCAAUCAAUUUUUUUUGCAACUACAGUCUAAAUACAUGGCAAGGCAAAUGCUAAAAGAAGAUCUCCUCAAGGCAAGAUGUGGUAAAUCCUUUAGACGAAUCAAUUUUACUCAUCAAAAGGCUGCAAAUAUGUGCAUCCCUCUAGGACAACAGUAAAUUAAAGAGGAUCAAAAAAUACAAUGAUCUCACAUAAAUGUAUCCAUCCACUCCAGGCCUCUCAUUUCAUUCCUCCAGAUUUAGCAAUAGAGGAGCAAGGAUAACCAUGACAAGAAACUCAGAAAAAGACAUCAACAGCUAAUGAUGCAACCAGGGAAUCCUUUUUUACUUUUUCACUGCAUAUCCUUUCUUAAAGUUGAAGAGGAGGAGAAGCAAUCAUUUUUAUGACUUUUCACAUAUUUUGGACUCAGAUAGAUGAAAUAGUGGACAUGUACAUUAUGUCACCUAUUAAUUCAAUGAAAACAAACACAGAGACCAAUAACACACACUUGUGCACAUCUCAUUUUUUGACACAGAGUCAACAACAUGAGAGGUUUGUCAUAAUACAAAGACGUAAAAUUAAAUUUCAAAUGCUUAAGAUAGAGCUUAUCAAGCAUUCCAGUCUGUACCUCAUGGGUGUUGUCUAGCGGUACUGAAGUGGGUGAACAUCAUGGGACACCAAGGUCAAUUCCUACCCAUGGUUGAGGUGUGCACGAAUUGGCUUAAUAUAUGAAAGGAGUAGAGGCGGCGAGAUUCCAAAAGUGUUCCCAGGUAAAUAGAAAUUUUAUAUUUGCUUGUCUUAGGCUCAGUCCAUAAAAGGAAAGGUCAAACCACAUAAAGGAAGUUUUUGAAUAGAGAUCAAUCAAGUAUAUCCAUUACAAGAACCAUAUACAACUGAUCUAGAAGAUUCUUUGUAAUUAUAUUUAUUGGUUAAGUUUAAGGUAAAGAGGCACAACUAAAAUGGGUGACUUUUUCUGAGCGAAAAUCUGUGAUCAUGCCAACUUCUGGUUGCACAAGAAAACCAUGGCACAAUGAAAAACCUAUGCAAAAAUUAUUCAAAAGAAGAAGAAUAAAGAAUUAUCCAGCAUCAUUAAUAUAUGGAAAUGGAACUACUCUACUUCUUUUUCACUGAAUAAUCAGUCUUUUUGCAUCUUCGAGCGACAUACAUAAUGUCAUCUCCCCUUACACCUCUAUCCUUCUUCACCUUACUAGGAUUGGUUCACCACAGGAUUCAAACUUGUCCGCACUAUACUACCUUUGACGAAGAAGAAGAAGAAUAAAGAACUAUCCAGCAUCAUCGAUAUAUGAUAGCAGAACUACUCUACUUUUUCUUUUAACUGAAUAAUCAGUCGUUUUGCAUCUUUGAGCGCAUAGAUAAUGUCCUCUCCCCUCUAUCCUUUCUUCACCUUACUAUGAUUGGUUCACCACAGGACUCAAACUUGUCGGCACUAUACUACCUUUGCCAUAUCGCUAUACGAAGUACAACGACUCUAGCAACAGUUUGAUCCUAAGAAACAAAUCAAAUGGCAAAGGUAACAGAUAACUGAUCAGCCAUAACCUCAACCUUAGAGGAGUGAACUUUCAUAGCUUUUGCAGCCUUAUUAAAUUGAACAAAUGCAUAAAAUGGACCUCAAUUCUCAUAAUUUUUAAUGACAUUAGAGGUCUGCAAUUCCUGCACCUCAACUAAUUCAUAAGUACCUGCUACAGUCCACAAAAAAAAAUUCCAGUAACUAUGCUAGGUAGGCAAGAGCAGAAGGACUCGCACUGAGUGAUAUAAUUGGUAUUCUCUAUGUUAUUACUCUUAAUUAUUAACCAUAAGAAGUAGCUGAGAGACCCGGAAAAAUGUAGAGACAAUUCCUGCCUGUACCACUAAGACUAAAUGAUUUGGUGGUUAAAUACAUUGACUAGACAAUUUUGGCAUUUCUGGUUCUACAGUGAUGAUCAGAGUCUACAAACCAAAAUUCGCACCAUGUAGCUCAAUUUAUAGAUUUUCAAGCAUCCAAACUAGCUGAGAACUACACAAAUGUCCUACAUUAAUGCCAAAACUUAACUAGAGAAAGCACAUAGCAGAAAAUGAGAACAUCACACAAUUAACCAUUUACCUGUGGGGGAAAGUUAAGUACUUAGUCAUAGGCACAGUAAUGAGAUUCCUCCUGGCAUUAACAGCAGACUUUUGCACUGCAGCAAUAACCUCUUUAGCUUUACCAACUCCAACACCUACUUGCCCUUUUUUAUCACCCACAACCACAACAGCCCUAAAAUGCAAUUGCUUUCCACCUUUAACAACCUUAGUAACUCUCCUAACUUGCACCACUCUCUCGUCAAACCCAUCUUUGGCCUUCUCCUUCUUGGUUUUCCCAAACGAGGUAGUCUUUUUCACCUUAGAAUCCAUUGCAUAUAUGUCAUUCCCAAGAAAAGUCUCUCCGCUAUAAGCAGCCCCAUAAAGCUCUUCAUACGCUUUUGCAAUUUCUUCUUCAGACUCCAUUGGACCGUCAUCGAAAGAUGCUGGUUCUAUAAAGUCUUCAGGACGCUCUGGAGGGUCAUAAGUGGAGAUCUCCUCUGGGUCUGUGUUGUCAAAGAAAGUGGUUUCAGCAGUUGUAGAAUUUGGUUUAAUGGGGUCGAAUUUUGUUGGGUUUAAGAGGAGAUGAAAUGGUGACUGGAUGGUUUUUGGGAUGAAGAAUGUAUGGUGGGGUUGGGAUUGAAAAGGAGAAAAGCGAGAUGGGGCGCGUAGAGAGAGAGAAGAGAAGGUGGAGAGAGAAGACGCUGCCAUUGUUGUUUUGUAUCAAUGGCGAAGUAGAGAGGAAGAAAAUGUAGAGAGUGUAAUCUUAUCCUUUGGAUAAAGAAGGAACAUGGGCCGAGUUGGGCCUAAUUUUGGGCCUCCUAUCAUGAAUGUAAACUUGUAAACCCGCUCGGAAAAAACUUAUCUGCACUGGGUGUUUACAUCCAAUUAAUGCAAGCUCCAUUAUUAUGUAAUUUAAUAAAGUAAAACACAUGUUAAUUAAUUAAGAUUAAUUAAAAUGAAUUAUAAAUUUAACACAUGACAUGCAUGUAUUGAAUUGAUGUAAAUUAUAUACGAAAUAUCAAUUAUACUUGGCAAGCUUGAUAGAUUUAUAUAACGAGCUUGUACAGUAGCUCACAAACCACACAUCAAAUAUAAAUUACAUUAUGAAAGUUUAGUAGACUGAAAAGGCCUUUGAGGGGAAAUAGUUCCUGAUAUUUCUCUAUAGAAUACUACAUGUUGCAUUAACUUCAAUCACCCGUAAGAGUAGACGUAUUUGAAUGAGUUCUUUACUUAAGGCUAACAUUUGAGUCUUAUUUGAAGGUAGGUCACUCAAAUUCUUUUUGUAGAGUAUGACUCUAAAUUACUGUUAAUUUUACAAGUCUCCAAAGUUUCUUAGUCUGUACCUCCCCUUCCUCUUUUCCUCCUGCACGUCUCUGUCUCUAGUUUCUGCACUAAAUACAAUGAGCUGUGGAAACUAUACUUCACGAUGAGUCGAUGACGGCACUCCUGGAAGAAAAACGCAUCGAAAAGGCAUGACACCAAUGAUACAUGGAAAUUAUACUUCACAACUUGAGGAAUUGUAAUUUUUUUUGACAAUAUCACGAAUAGUUGGCCAACAAUCAAAUGAACAGAACGCUGAGAUUAAUGCAUCAGAAGGAAACUGACAAUUCAGGGACUUGACACCAAUCUAAUCAUUCAGGAGAAAAGCAAUCAUGAAUAACAAAAGGUAGCAGGAGAUCUAUGAAAGUUUUGUGGCUUAACAAGAACAAGGAGGUUUAGUCACUGAUACAGCCUUGCAUUCAUACAUUUAGUUAAGUAUCAACUUCCAAAUGAUAAAAUAGAGCAGAAAAGUUUGAAAGAAAUGUCGAAAGUUGGUGUCUGAUACAGCCUUUCGAAUAACUCAUUAUUCAAAUAGUGAUGUAAUUUUGAUAAGAGAAUGAAGAAGGUGGCUGUUGUAUCUUGAUCCACAAAGAAGCAUCAGGUCCAUAUCUUGAUCCACUGGUCAUGGCUCACUGAAGCUAUGGUUCCACCCAAAGGUGAACCUGCUAGUGAAGUAAUUAUAUCAGUAUGUGCACUAUAUGACUGAGUUGUGCUGCUCUGGUAGAAAGGAUUCCACAGCUCUAGGAACUGCAACAACAUUAGACAGGUAUAAGACGGAAAAAGAGAAAGCAAAUCAACGACUAUACAUAUGAAUAAACUUCAAACAUGUAAGCUUUCAUCUGACACACCAAUAACUCCAUUAGGAGAUCUUAUAUUCAUGAAUUUCCCUCAACGAAGAAGUUUCAAGCGCCGUGGAAUGAUCAGACACAAGUAGGAAAGCCAAAAAUGUUCAGAUGAAAUCAAAAUAUGCAAUUAUCAUUUUCUUUAUUGAGACGAAAAUAUAGCAAAAUAAUCAGAAGCAAACCUCAUAUCAAUCUGAGCAUUUUGAGACAUUAUACGGGCAAUAGAACCCAAAAUCGCAGACUUCGCAUAUUCUUACCCUCCUAAUGUUCUUUUUCCAGCUCUUAGAUUUGGCUGACCAAGAGAGAAGUUCUUUGUUUUUGUUUUUGUUUUUCUUUUUCAGGAUUGUUCAAUAUCCAAGCAUCUUAAGUUAGGUUUGUUGUUUUUAAAUUCUAUGAGCUCAAAAACCUCAGCAUAAAUGACCACAUUGUAUUAACCAUACCUCAAAGGAACCAAUCACCAACACUUGAACGUGCCCUGGGUGAAAAGUGCAUGACUGGAACUUAUUGCCACCAGAGCACAAUUCAUAUAAACACUUCCCAUCACUAACAGACCAUAUCCGUGCACUAUCUUCACUCACGGAUGCCAGGUAUCUCCCAGUCACAUGCCAGCAGAUUGAGCGGAUGUCUUUGACAUGUCCCUAUAAAUCGAAGGAAACGAAACCACAUUGAUAAAAUAUGGUAAUGCAACAGAAAAGAAAUUUUGAAACAAGUUUGAUCAAUGAUCAAGAAUGAGUAUCUUACUAGUAACUUUUUUUGAAUGCUGCUAGUUUCGACAUCAAAAAUAUUUACAACAUUUCCACUAGAACUUGCCAAAAAGUCCCCACGUUGAGGUUGAAAUCUAACGUGUCUACUACCUCCCUGCAUUUGUACCAAGAACUAAUCAAACAAUUUUGCAGUGAAUGAUAAUAGCAAGUUCUUUGUAACCCACUCUGUUUAGAACAGUGAACAAUGCAUUGUUGAAUGUGAUAUGGAUGUUGGUUCAUAUAAGAUUAUGAAAAUCCUUUUAUUUCCUCAACUAUGUAUUUGUAUGUCUAUUCACACAACUUGUAUGGACUUCUUUGUCCCCAGACCCUUUUUAGAGUUUUGCCAUCGGAACUCGGCCUUCUAAAUCACAAUGAUGACCAACCUGGUCUUGAAAACCUUGAAUUUUCUCAGAAUGAAGAAGAAAAAAUAAAGAGAAACAUUUCCCACAAUAAAAUGCAGGAAGUCAUGAAAAAGAAGAUUCAAGAAUGAUUUAGAAUCAAGUAAUUAAGUAAUCUCCAAAUUGAAAUGGAAGCAUAAAAGGAAGUUAAAUAUCAAAUUAUGGAGCCUUUUUAUCAAAUAGAGAAACCUCUUUAUAAAUAUCUUUAAAAAAAGAAAGGAACUAGAGCCACCAACCUUAAAAAUGAGGUCGCAUUCACCCCUACUGACAUCCCACAGUCUAAUGUCGUUGCUGGUAUCACAAGAACUGAGGAGGCCCAACUUUGUUGGAUGAAAAUCCGUAGACAUUACGUGCUCAACAUGCCCGACAAGGUUUUGGAAAGGGUUGCUUGGCUGGAUAAUGACAAAAUGGUGAGAUAUGUACAGUAUCAAAGUUGUAAUAACUAAUAGACACAGGUCAAAAAGUACCAAUUCAAGAGAUUAAGUCAGUUUUUGAGAAAUCCUGAUAACCAGAAGAAAAGACAAAAGGUUCUGAAGGUCUAAAGACUUCAUAAGAUGUAUUAGUAACAGCAAGUCCUCAAAUAUCGACUCAAAUGAAAUGUAUUAUAGAUAACAUAACAUGAUGAUGCUGAUAUUUGGUAUAAUUGCGAUAAAUCUUUUGAGUAUCCUUACUACAGAGAGAAAGAAUGUUGGCCAUAAAUGUCACGUUACAAUUGUCUGAGCAGCUAAGAAAAUAUAUAUGUUCACGUUUAAGUACAAGCAAAAGAAUCAGGAUAAUAUCAGCACAAAAAUCAGAAGAAAUAAUGUGGACCAAGAACAACGAAAUCAUAGAACUGAUAAAUAUAUAUCCUGGUGAUUGGACUCUCUGCUGACUGCUACUUGUGAGCUGUUACAACUUAAGAGAAGAGUAACUGAAAGAGUCAUUCGACCAAAGAUCUGCAAUGACAAAUAGAGCUAGUACCUUGGCUGCAUCCCAUAUCUUCACAGUUCUGUCAAAGGAAGAUGUUGCAAACACUGUUGAGUGUGGUCUAAAACGGACAUCUGUAACGUGGUGAGCAUGACCUUCUCCACUAUAAACAUUGUUAGUUCUCAACUUCCAAAUCAGUACCUAAGCAUAAAUUGCGUACAAGUUUGUUAACAGGAGAAAUUGAGAUAAGGGCUCGCCUAUUCGACCAACUAGAAUCCUGUUGAAGAUUAAUUAGACAAACCUUCUUGUCGUGUCCAGCAGCAGCCAACAACUCUCCUUCUGAAUCGAAGUGGCAACAUAGGAGCUUGCUAGUGUUUGUGUGAAGGUUGCUAAUCGCUUUCAAUGAAUUGCCUGCAUAGCAAAAUGAAGUCAAUUAUCCUUUAUGCCGAUAUGAGAUAACUAGCAAUUUAUCCAUCAGGGUAAGAGCCUGACAAAGUCAGAAGCUACAGUGUUUAAUCUCAAAACCUUGGUGGGACAUCACAUUCUUGUCUUCUUUCAUUUUAAAAAAGAGUUAUACUGAACAAAUGUAAGAUCUGGCAAAUUUUUACGAGAGAAGCUUACAGACAAUACCAUCUAUUUGUCACCGUGAGAAGCUGACAAACACUACUUGCUUUUAGGAAAAGAGGUUUAUCACAAAGAACAAUAUCAUAUAUCAAAGGUCAACCAUAUACCAUCAUAUAUGUGCUAUGAAGCUUCCAAUACAGUACCUAAAACACUACUGGCACCUGGAAGAAUGAAUCAGGGUAUAAUGCUAAUAAACCUGCACCAUUGGGUUCUCUUGGACAAUUUAUUUCUUCAACAUAUUAGGAUUAGACACAACCUAGAUGGGCGAGUAUAGAACCUAACAAAAUGGGACACCAGUUGUCUAAGGAUUAACUAUUUCUGUCAACCAUCAAUAAUAUAAAUUGCAACCUUCUUAAUAUUAAUCUUCUUAGGGACCAUUAAGGUUGUUGUCACCUACCUUCCCGUUCAGCUUGAGUGCGUGCAGGCGCAGCAAAACUAGCGACAGGAGUUUUCUCUUUCCCAACCUACAACUCAGGAAUAUAUAAAUGAGCCAGGAAUAAAAGCAGAUGAAGAACAUAUAGACAUUUCAUACGCAAGCGUCCAAGUGAAUAUAAUGGUGAAAAGAUGAUGAUGUCUAUCAGUGACGAGUGAAAUAGAAUCACCAGCACAUGAAGGGCAUAAGAAGUAGAUGCAGAAGAAUGAUCUUACAGGUUCCAGAGAAUUCAAUGGAGUUUUCCUCUUUGUGCCACUCUGAUACAGAACGCAUGUAAGAAAUUAGAAGCCAAAUAAGGGCGUAGACAUGUUUCCUCAAUUCUGGUACAGCUAAAAGAAAUUUGAAGACAUUCAAAUAAGCCAGAUACUUGUGACAGCCUUUAUGAUCUAAGACCAACCUUAUUUGGAUACUGCAGUCCCAGCUGGUUUCUGUGCUCCUGCACUACAGGUUGCUUUCCGAACCUUCUCAUAAUUCCUCCUAUUUGCUGGUCAGCUGGUGAAUUCUCUGGGAUUCUUAGAUUUGUCUCACCAAGCAUCUGUUCACCAGAAGAAGAAGAAGAAGAAGAAAAAGUAAGGCAGGAAAGAAACCUCAAUCACAUCAGUUUAGUAGGAUAACCCUAAGUUUCUCGGACUCGGGUGGGUAUCUAGAAGUCGGAUCCUUCAUGAUUUUAUUUUUAAGAUUCAGGGACAUGGAUCCAUGUGAUGGAUACAGGUGGGGGGAUUUGCCUAAAAAUAAUUAAAAUAUGAUAUUAUGUGGAGAACUUUGAGGAGAAUCCUGGAAGGAUAUUAAAGAAAAAAGAGUCGCAUAAAAAUUUAUAUAUAAAAUGUAUUCCAUUUUCUUCAAUUUCACCUUAGCUUUUGUAUUGAUCACAGAAAUCAUUAAAAUUGUCCAGACUUUCCCCAUUGAUUUUGGUCAAAGUACCCAAAAUCAGUUGACUAAAUCGGAUACGGAUCCCACACACAUACCCACGUUGUGUCGACACGGGUGCGGCACCAAAAGUAAAGAGUCCGAGCAACUUAGGGAUUGCCUAUUUUUGGCCCUAAAAAUGUUGAUUGUUGGACUAUGCAAAAACUUCGAUUUUUUUUGUUGCAGUUUUCUUUCUGCUACAUAGGUUACUCCUUUUAAAGUUGAGUUUUUAACGUAUGUUACCUUAUUUGACUAUUAAUAACUUAAUAUACAAGGUCUUACACUGUGAUUUCGAAGGCCAAAAAAAUCUGAAAACCAAUGGAUGGUCUAUUGCACGGCUAAAAUAAUUGCAGCAUGAUACAACCCUAGGAGCAGGAUGGUUACUUCAGUAUUCAACUUACCCCUGCAUCUUUUACACUUGAGUCAGCUAGAGUGAGCAUAGGAAAAAGAUCUCCAGAACAUGCAGGGGCAGGAAGUCUGAGCUUAUCCCAUGUUUGAACUGCCAUGCUUGGUAAAACAUUCUGUUGAGCGAAGAAUGUACUUAUCGGGAACUGUUCCUUUCGAGUUGGCACUAUCACACUGGGAUGCACAACUUGAUGGCUAAUGACGCGGGGAACUGAGCCAACGUCCUGGGUUAAAUAUGAAAGGAAUGAAUUAACUUAAAGUUGACGGAACCUAAACAUCAUAAUGGACUAAACAUUUCUAUUGAUGCAAAAGUUUAGGGUACUCACAAUAGAUGGCCAUCCUCGAUGAGAUGCUUGUUGGAGAGAUCUGUUGUUCCCUGCAUGUACAAUGCAAAAAGAAGAUCAAAAGGAAAUCUGACGGAACAUUGUACAAUAUAUCAACAACGACUAAGCCUCAAUUCCGAGCUACUUGGUCACAUUGUACAAUUAAUCGUUAAGAAGAAUUAAAAUUUCCUGUAUAUGAUCACUGCAAGCACUUCUCAUGGUGAUUAUUCUGAAGAGAACAUGUAAUGAAGAGCACCCAUCACACUGACUAUUUUGCUUUGCUGAAUCUAAGUUUUGAAGAUAGAUUGUUUAUUUCAUAAUCCUUCCAUGUUAGUUUGCCUAGUGUCUUUUGCUGUGACAACUUCCAAUUGAUAAUGUAUCAACCUUCAAAAUGAAACUGGAACUAACUAGAACUAAGAAUCCACAAUAAUUAAAUGUUGCUCAGCAAGUGAACGGAAAUUAAUUGCACAUACAGUAUCAUCGUCAAAAACCAAAAGAUGCAAAGGGGAAGUGCAUUGUAUCGAAGUUCUAUUUUCAGAACUUUACUGAAUGCUUCUGCCACAUACUUCCUUUGGUGGAUCGUAUACCUAAGCUGUCAUAUGUUCAUCCUUUUCUUACUUCAAUCAGCAACAUGGAUCUUUACCAAAAUGGGGAAGUGUCUCAGAUAUAUUCAUAGUUGUAAAGAUUUUAACAAAGGUAAUCUCCCAUUGGCAUAAUCACAAAGCGAAUGGGAAUCAACUAUAGAUAUUACAGGUGUAGUUUGAUCAAGCCGGGCUCAGCUGUUCAUCCUUGAGCUAUAUUAUAAAGUUGAGCCCAAACUCAAGCUCAGAUAUCAAACUGGCUUCAAAUUGGAGCAGAGCUCAAUUCGAAUAUACGUAGACAAGUUCAAGAACGACUCGAUAUAGUAACAAGUGAAUUAACAACCUUGAACUUGAGUUCAAGCCCAAACUAAAACUCACAUGCACAUAUAGAUGUAGUAUAAUAAAUUUAUACCUUUAGAUCAAAUUAGGAACUAUUUUCAUCUUUAAUAAAUAUGUAACGAUUUUUGUUUGCUAUAAGUGUAAUACUAAAGAUAACUCUUAAGGUUGAGCGAGUAGAGUUAUGUCAAAACAAUUAUUUUCGAGAUAUGAGUAGGCCUUAAGGCUACACACACCAAAAUUGUUAAAUAAACAGGCAUAUGUACUUAUUAGUUGGAUAACUAAGUAUUUUUUGAUAACUAAUUAACAAGAGCCACCUUUGACCCAUGCGAGUUGCAUUUAUAAAUCUAUAUCACAUGUCAUUUCCACCAGAAGUGGUGCUUACGUGGCCUGGCUGGGUUUGGAAGAGAAUCACAUAGAAAGAACUACCAUUCAAGAAUCUUUUUUCCAUGUUGGCUCUACGUGAGGCCUAUUAAAGGCUAAAAUGACAGUCAUCAAUCCUCCAUAUUCAUUCCUUUCCUUUGAUCUGAAUUCGAACAAUGGCAAUUUAAGGAUGUACCGAGGUCCCUCUUCUUUGAAGAGGUUAAACAUCCUUACUUGUCUCGUAUUGAGCAAGCAGGUGCCGCACAUGUGAUAUGGAAGCACUAGCUUAAAGAAUCAUAGUGAAAAUCGUACUAGUGAUCGUCGUAUUGGGCUAGUGUUUAUAAUCCAAGUAUGUGAUCACAAUUAAGAAACUCAUUUAUAAGCUUACGCUAGUUAAAGAAUAAAUGAUUAAGUUCUCACCACAAAUAGUCCAGGUAAUAGUCAUAUCAAGGUAGCAUGACUCACCAAUAUAUCAUUCUAAACUAGUGUUUGUCCACAUACUCCCAAAUAUUUUUGACAAAUAUUAUUUGGGUGAAAUUUCACCAUGUGUUUGACCAUAAUAUUUUUGAUGACAUGUUUUUGGCCAUAAUAUUUGGGAAACAUAUUUCACAUAUGUCACUUUUACAAAACUAACUGUAGGUUUGUAUUAUACAGCAAGACAGAAACGUUGACAACAAGAUCCAUGAAUUCCACAACAAGUCAAUUGGAUAAUCAUAGCAACAAAUAGCAAGUAAUGUCCAUGAUACUAGAGUAAUGUGGUAGUUUCGAGUGAGUGCGACAAACAUCAUGCUAUACAUUGUGAAGUAGACAAAGCACAUGAUUUUAUUACCCUGAGCCGAUUGUUUGUCAUUUUCAACAACCAUAUCAUCACAUUCAUGAUGUUCACGUCAAAAGUUAUGUAAUACAGUGCAAACAACUACCAUAAAUAGUGUUGUAAAAGUUAAAAGUUUGGUGUAGAAUUUGAUUUUUUAAAAGCUAUAAAAUAAUGAGAUUUGGCUCAAAUACUAUUUUUUCUAUUAUUAGGGAAUUUAGGUUUUUUGCCGAAAAUAUAACAAAUUAUAUGAACAAACACUAUUUGUCAAAUUUUUUUCAAAAUUUCACUUGGGAAAUCUAUGGCCAAACGGGUCCUAAGUGACAACUUACCAAAUGAUCAUUCUGGAGCAACACUAUUGAUAGCAUCUAUGUUGGCCUACUUGCAUUAAAGUUGACGGGCUUCAAUGAGAGAUCAAGAAGGUAUGUAUCAUGGAAGAGAAGCCCAAGAAUGAUGAUGAAAAGUGGGUUAAGUGCUACACGAUUUCAUAUCAAGUCCAAGUCUAAGUCCAAAAGGGGGAAAAUUGGGGCUACAUGGAGCCCAAGAGAACCCACAUGGACUCCAAAAGAAGCCCAAAGAGAAGCUUAUUUGCAUGCUGAAAGUGCAGAAUGUUUUUAAGGCCAAAAGAUACUGAAGUUGCAUGCCAAAAAGUGUUGAAGUCACUUGGGAGUUUUGGUGGAAAUUUAUCAUUUCUUUCCUUUUUCUUGACAACUAAUUUUUUACAUGUUCUCCUAGUUUAAAGUUUCCUAAUUAUUAUUUCCAUAAAAGUAGGAUUUGAAUAUUAUGCUAUUUGAGAUAUGUUUGUGAGUUUGUCUUAUCUAUAGGGGUGAUUUGUUAUCUUUAUUAGACACGAUUAAUAUUAUUUGAGAGGUUUUCCUUCUUUACACCUUUGUGUGUGGUAACUAUGGAUUUACCUUCCAACCAUAUAAGAACGAUUAUACAAGAGGUUAGAUUAAUUCCUAACUUGAUAUCUUCGAUUUCUAUUAAAAAUAAAUUAAAAAAGACAAUUAGUCUUUUACUAAUUGUUGUUUCUAAUUUCUUCGAAUAAGAGCUAACCUAAACCAUAACUCCUUUGUCUCACUAAAAAUGACUUUGUUCAUAUAUGCUUCAGUUGAUUCUCAUUAUAAACUCUUUUACAAGCAAGGACUACUUGUAGGAAUAUACUUCUUUGUCAGCUCUAACCUCAAAAUAUUCCAAACACGCACAAGUGUAAAGAGGGAAACCUUCUAUUCUAUACUCCAAGAUUAGUAUAUGAUAUAAAACGCUCCGACGUACAAACUUUCUCUCCUCCAGAAAACCCCAUCCCCCCACACACACACAAAAAAAAAAACUAUUCCAAGCCACACUAUCGCUUGCAUGAGUUGCAUUCCAAGUUAGGAUUCCUAGCGAGAAAAGUUCUAUACGCACAUUCAAACAUAUUGACGUGCAUACCAUCUCAUCUACAAACAUAAGCGGUUUGAGAGAGCAUACUUUCAUUUUAUUUUAUUUUUAAGACAACAUACUUUCAUUUACUUAAUUAUAUUCUCAACACUCUCCCUCAUGUGUGGGUCUAAUUCUUUUUUUUUUUGGUCAAGCACGUGAAAAUUCUUCAUGACGAUAGGCUGCGGCUAGGACGGUCAUAGGCUUCGAUGUCAUGUUGAAGUGUGUGACUAUCUCAUCUAAAAGCUUAAGUUUUCAUAAAGAGCAUAGUUUAUCUGCUUAAUUAUAUUCUCAACAAAGUUGAUGCAACUGCAUGAUUUUGUUCGAAAGUAGAUAGUGUGGUUAGUAAAACAAAGAUACUUGAGUAAUUACCACAUUAAAACUACUUGAAGAAGGUUAAAAGAAAAAACACUUUGAAAUGAUAAGAAGUAGAUGGAACGCCAUAUCACUUUAAAAACAAUAUGAAGCGUUGUAAACUUCGAUUUUUAAAGAACAAGAAACUUACUAUACAUGUAAGGCAACAAGUUCAAGGUCAUUUGGAACAAACUUAAGUAGAAAGUAGGCCCUUUUGAAUAGAACUAGUGUUGUAGAUUGAUGGUAAGAUCAACAAUCUUUUAAGAUGAAUGACAAAAUCCUAUGAAGCUAUGCAAUGACUACCGAUGUUCAGUAUCUCUUAGUUAUGAGCAAGGAGUUGACAUGUUGAGGAGGACACCUUGUGCUGCAUCUAACCAUUCAAAUUGCCCAUAAUGUGAUUCAUGCUAAAGAGCAUGAUAUGGAGAUUUGUGAACAAAAUUGUUGUGUCACAAGUCACCCAAAUGAAUAUCACAAGGGCGCGAUGUAUCAGUUUGUUUUAUGACCAUUUUCUUGAAAAUAUGAUCUUGGUCAAGCUUAUCACAAAUAACGCCACUUUGAAUCCAUUAUAUCUUUAUUGAUUCAAAAUUAUGGUUCUUACAAAAUUUGUAGCAGAAGACACAAUUACCUUUACGAUACAGAAUAACAUUUAAGCCUUUAUUGGCUGAGCAUAUUUAUUUAAGACUUGUGUAAGAGAAAAAUAUAAAAGGUUUCUGCUUUAGUAUGUAUUACAUUAAUUUUUCACUCUUACAAAAAUUUAAAAGGGGAAGACAGAAUUUCUCAUGGGAUGUCUGAGAAUUUCUCCAUACUGACAACUAGUAAAGUCGUAGACAUACUUAGAGCUUCUAAUUUGACCUUGGUGAAAUCAGAAGGACCUUGAUUAAAUGAUUACUGACCACUUGCAGACGAGUAAACUUUGAAAUAACUUACGUUGACUGGAAAAUACUUCAGAAUUUGUAGUACUUGAUCAAGGUUAGGGACAACAACUUUUAGACACUUUACGAUGGCUUCAAGCUGAGCUUCAUUAUCUGAGCUUGUUUGGAAGAGAGAUCAGCUACAUGACAAGGUAUGGACGGAUAUUGUGACAUGAGUUUCCUUUUGGAUCCUUUCUAGCUUAACAACAUAAAAGUCAGGUCCCAAGUUGAGAAAUCUUGUGAGGUAGCAGGGACACCGUAGAAUUAAUUGAGGUGCGCACAAGCUGGCCCGGACACCACCGUUAUAAAAAGAAGAUUUGGGAAGUCUUUGGCAGCUCUUAAACCAUUCUUGCUCCUCCUCUAUGAGAUAUCAUGAGACAAUGGGAAGGACCCUUAGAAGGUAAAGCUUCUCAUUUAGGUGGAUCCUACCCCUUUCUCUUUGCUGAUAAGGUCUUGCUGGUUCUUUACCACUGACUGACAGGCAGUGAAGUGACAAUAGAGCAGGUAUUUCUGUAAAAACUUCUGUAUGUAGUUUGACCUGUGUUUUCUGAGCUUAAAAUAGGGAAGACUGGUAAGUUUUAUGGAAUCCCAAGGGAACUGAAAUGUGAUCUAUUUCCCUUUUACCAACCAUUUAUAAGUUUCCUUCAUAUCCACCUUAAGAUAUCCAACAGGCCAACAAGGUAUUCCCCAUCCCCUGAAAAAUCAUUAUUCCAGUUUUCCCUUUCAACUAAACCUUGAAUCACAGAAACUUCCUCAAUGAUAUGCAUCCUGGUCCAUCACACAGCCAAUCCAAAAAGAUCUAAGAUAAAUCACUUACCCAAAUAAAUCUAUCUCAUCUGUUAAAGGUUACUUCAAGCCACAAUGGUCAAUUAUCCAUCCUAAUACGACUGUGAGGAAUCUUAGCCUAUAGAACUUCAACUAAGAGACUGGCCAUGCACUUCAUCAGCUUCAUCUUUUGUAUCAAGCAAUAUUACUAACCUUCUAAUAGAAUAUUCGUUACCUGAUAUAUAUCACAACUUGUGACUCUUCUACGUCCCUAUUUGGAUUUACCUUCAUAAUCUAUUAAGAAUACAUCAAGAGUUCAAUUUAAUUUAUUGUAUGACACAACAAGGAUAAAUUAAAUUGUCAGAAUAAAAGAACAUCAGCACUAUAGCUUCAAUCAUGCACCAUUCAUUCAUUCUAGAUGUAACUAUAGCCUCAAACUUAAUUAAGCUUCAUGCUCCUAUGUGAAUCCAACAAAUGUACCAUUACUUUAUGGGUAAAGGCUAGAUAGACAAAACAUCUAAAUGGUCACGGUACGUUUUGACCUGUGCACUGCAAUAGCAUUGCGUCCUUUUUCUACCAAUAGCUAAAGCAAUAACAACUUCUUGAAGAGAUUCUUCUCCUCCUUAUCAAAAGAAGAGCUUUUUCUCCCAACUCUCCAAUUUGAUUCACAAAAUAGCAACAAGCAUUUAAUAAUUUGGGGGAAAACAAUCACCAUCAUCGAGUACUCCUUUAAUACCUUUUGAAAUGUUCGUAUCAGAAGUUAUUCAACACAAUACACUCAGGGGGUACUCAUGGAUAAAGCUGGAAUUACACGAGCAUAUAAGGCUCACUCAGUAUAUCAAGAAGUAACAGAUUAUGUCUCUUCAUCCUUUUCAAGGAUAAUAGGUCACUCUCUCUUCGCACGACAUCCUUUCCUAAUUAUAGUAACUAACAAAGUAGCAAAUUUCUCAAAAUGUCAACAUCUUUAUUUGGAUGGAGAGUUUGAUGCAUUCAGAAGCAGUUGGUUGAAGAGCCUGAUAGCAAGAGCAGCAGAGUAUCUGUUAUUAGUUUCCUACUAAAACAGAGGAGUGUUUAAUUUGUACAGGAGGGACUGAUAGCUAAUUAGGAGAUUAGCAAAACCUAAUUGACAUUUUCAAUAUAUCAGAAAAAAUUGAACGAUUUUUAAUCUGAUUACAUAUGCAUCUCUUAAUUUGCUACACAUUAAAAGGUGAGACAGUCUUCUUCAAUAUAUGCACAUUUAUCCAUCUAAUGGAUUGUUUUAUACUAAAAGAUUUUGCAUAUUAUCAUAGUGUUCAAACAAUCAACAUUAUCAAUGCAAAAGACAAAAAUUAUACCAACUAAAUGCAAAACAUAAAAGCUAAACUACAAACAAACCUGCAUCAGAAAGUUCAGGUAAAUCAGGCAAAGCGCUUGUAGCCGCAUGAAGAUGUGGUUCCGUUCGCAUAGGUCCUCCCCAGUUUGCACCAAGUAUGUCAACCUGCAAAGAAUAAAAACUAGUCAAUUAUUUUCAACUAAUUAUUUUUUAUAAAUCUUGAAAAUGUACGGGGAAAUGUAAACGUACUCUCGCAUUCCACUCUGCGGGAACAGUUGGCAUUUGCUGCAUUUGAUAGCUGAAGGAUAUGGACAUACAACACAGAAAAUAUGAAGAUUCUGAUAAGAAAAUUACAUAAACAAAGAAAUGGUUCCAUAUACAAAAAAUAUUUGGACUAUCAAGAUAAUGUAAAAAAUCUUUCUCAUAUUACAGGCCAAACAAUUGGUUCUACUUAUUAGACUAACGAGCAUCCCUUAAUAGCCAAGUUUUGCAAGAAACUCUUCACAUUUCACAUAUCAGAAGGUCAUAAUUAAUAGCAUGACACAGUCGUGAUUUUGGUCAAUAUUCUAUUGUUGCCUUAGAAGCUUAAGGCAAUGAUAUCACAUCAAUUAAGUAAAACAAAACCCACAUCGCGUUAAAGGCUAUACCUUUAUCCUCGUCGAAGUAACUAGGCAGACGUUGUAUUAAAAUGAGGCAAAAAUAAACAGUUUAACAAUAAACAUAACAUGCUAUUUACCCAGCAUUGCUUGCCAAUGGAAGCAUGUCACCUAUUUCACUCAUCUCGGGUAAGUGUAAGCCUGAUGUCAUGUCCCUUGGAGGAGAUAAAUCCAGUGACAGAUAACUGGCAUCAAAAGAUGACAAUAAAGCUGAAAGGCUAGGGUCCAUAAGAUCAGGACUGCUGGAUUCUGGCAUCAUAGCAGAUAUGUUUGCACCUGUAAGAUCAGAAGCAUAUGAUUGAUUUGAAGGACAGUAAUCACCCACAACAUUGUCCACGCUUUGUGCGACCUGAGAAUUUAAAAUCAAACAUUUAGUUAGCAAUUAUUUCAUACCAGUUAAAGAUGAACGAACAGAGCAUAGAAAAGGUCCACAGGUAACACCUUAUCAAAGGAUUCAACAUCGAAGACAGGAAAGUCAGGAAACCUAGAACUGUAUGCUUCAUAAAAUUUACUCCACCACGCUUGCAGAAAUGCUUCAUGAGGAGAAUUUAUAGCUGAAACGAACCACAAAAUCAGAAAACAUUACACCAAGCUUGAUAGUGGAGGACAAUUAAUACAAUAAAAACAUCACAAAUUAUGUAAUUACAACGUAUUUACACAAUUAUCAAAAACAACAGUUUGACAAUCCACCAUAUGGUCAUAUGUAGCAACAAUUCUUUCAGGUAAACAACAAGCCAUUAUUAAAACACAUAUCUCAAUUCAUUAUAGAUUUGUUUUGAGCAUCUGAUUAAAAGAAUAAAAUUCAUUGAAAUCAGUUACUUACCGACAAGAUUUUGAUUAGCACGAAUUUCGUUGGAGAACGCCUCACCAGUCCGAUGGAAACCUCUUUUAGACAUAUAAUCGAGAAUGGCAAGUUCAAGCCUAAAAAAACACAAACAAAAAAGGGAAAACCAUGAUUAAGAACAGUCAACCAAAAGGAAAAAAUCACAUUCAACCAAAUCAAAGAAAAGUAGACAGGUAAAGGUUAUCGAGAGUAUCAAUCAUUAAAAAUGUAAGUAUAAAAAGAAACUGAGGACAGUAGAUUUUACUAUAAAUUAACUAGUGACCUAACACAUAAACUUACGAGCGUUGAGCCUCUAAACUGGCCAUGAUCAUCAAAAGCAAAGCCUUAAUUAAUCACAAAAAAAGGGAUAGAAAAAUUGGGCAAGAAAGAUUGGAAAGAGAAGAAAGAGUCUCAAAAAUCAAAAUUCACUUAGAUUACACAAAGAAGAACGCAGAGAGAGAGAGAGAGAAAGAGAGAGAGUUGAAUUUAGACAAUGAGAUUGUGGCAAUAAAAACAAAAUGUAUGAAAGUGUAGUAACUUGGUAAGUGACAUACCAUGCAAAAGUUAGAGAAAAUAAAAAAGAAAAUAUUUUCUUUUUGGUAUUUUAAUAUUUAAUAAUUAAUUAUUAAUUUUUUGAAAAUAUAUUUUGUUAAUUGGAUUCAAAAUAUAUCUUCAUUUUAUUUCUCUCAUUUUAAUUUAACCCUUUAACUUUUUUUAUUUUUAAACUUAUUACCCUUUUUUCUUUCUUUUUGUUAUUUUUGGUGUAAAGACUCUAUCUUUUGUAAUGCUGUCUCCAGGGUGGAGGGGUGGGGGGGGGGGUUGCGGGUGGGGGGUAGAAACUAAUUUUGUUGAUAACCAACCCAUAUAAUCACUGAAUUUUAUUUCUAUUUUAUCGAAAUUAUAGUAUCUGUUAAUGAAUGCACCAAUAUGUAUAAAGAUAAAAAUUUAUGAUUUACUUCUUAUAAUUACGCUUUAAUGAGUAAAUAAGUUCCUCAUUUUCUUUGUUAAACAUUUUCUUUAUCAUAGAAUUUUUGUUCUUUAUAAAUUCAUACGCAUUUCACUAGGUAUGUUAUUGUUAUAGUAAUAAGUUCUUAUGCAUUGUUUAUUCUAUUUUUUCAAAAAAAAAGAACAAAAUAUUUCUGUUGAGUUUUGUUCCUUUUCACUUUAUCAUUGAAAGUUGAGAUAAAGUACCUUGAGUUUUUUUUUCCUAGGAUAUUUUAACUUUUUUAUAGUAACAACAAAUGAAGAAAGAAAGAAACUUAAAUAAAGGUGUGAAUGAAUACAAGAAGCAAAGUCAAAACACAAGCCAAUUCUAAGAAGGAAUCAAAAGAGGCAAAUGAAAUUAAUUGUUUGUACAAGUGAGAGUUUUUUAGGUGACAAACAGACAACAGGCUUUACUACAACAGUUAACCUCCAAAGCUUCGAACCAUAAAAGGUGACGGUUAAAUUUAGUGAACCUUCUUAAAUUUGAGCUAGUUUAAUAGACUUUUUCUAAGUGGCACGGAUUCUUCACUUUCGAUCCAGCAACCAUGUUGGAUCCUACACAAAUACAUUAUGCUUGGAGAAUCCGCCACACAUCCAUUGACAUUUUUGAAGAGUCUGAGCAACAUAGGACUUUUUCACAAUUGGACAAAAACAAUAAUAUAUACCUAGUGUAAUCCCAUAAUUUUUCUCACAAUUGGACAACUAUUCAUUAAUUUCUGAAAAUGCCAUUUCUGUUUCUAAGCAAUUUCUACAUUGAAUUCCAUUUAAGAUGCUUAAAGCUCAUAAAUUCUCAACAAGAAACAACCCCCAUCUUUUAAAUUAUUUAGGACUAAAAAUUAACAGUAUAAAAGAUGAUUACAUCAUCAGUGUUUUAAUUUUGUAUGGAAGUAUUUACCAUCUUAUUAAGAUUACCAGCCUAUUUAUUAUAAGAAAAAGGGAAAAGGGACAAAUAUACCCCUUAACUUUUUGAAAUGGAGUCUUUUGUUAAAAAAGUGAUCUAUAUAUACCUUGUCUUUAACAAAUGAAACAUAUUUACCUUAUCGUUAAUAGACCUAUAUUUAUUGAAUUAAAAACCAAAUCCUAAAACUGGUUUUUUAGUUCCAAAAAUGUCGCAUGACUAUAACAAGUUAUCGCAACCAUUUUUAAUCCCUCCAAAUAUGACACAAAUGAAAAAAAAAUCAAUCCCUCUUCUAUUCAAUCAUCAAUCCGAUGACUUGAGACCUAGGACGCUUGUUCGACUAAACUAGAUCAUCAUCACGACUAUAUGGUGAUGACUACAUAACAGAGGGAUUGAGUUUUUUUUAGUUGGGUUGAGUUUGGAGAGGUAAAGAAAAUAGGUGAAAUAAUUUUUUUAAAGCCACGUGACAUUCUAUGGAAUUAAACAACUAGCACUACACCAAAAAUAAUCUUUAGCGCUAUAAGCUAAUGACUAUAGCUUAGUUGCCGCUAAAUAUGUUUCUCUUGAGACAAUUAACACACUUUGUAAAUGUCACUAAAGGUUACAGGGACAUUGUUUCCAAUGUCGAUAAAGACUUUAGCAUUCUCUAUUAAUGUGCAUAUUUGUUGCCGCGAAAAGCUAUUUUGUUAUAGUCCAAGUAACUAUAGAUCUAUUAAUAAAAGGGAUAAAAUUGCACCAUUUGUUAAACGACGAGAGUAUAUAUGUAUAACCUUUUUAACAAAUAUAUUUGCCCUUUCUCCCUAAACUAAUUAUUUUAAAAGGAAAGAAAACUACCAAUCAAUUAAAAAACUAUAAGGGUAUUGACUAAAUUUGAAAUGCUUGAGAUUAUGUGAUCUAAUUUAGAUUUAGAUUUGAUUAUUGCUAUAACUUACCAUAUAUUGGUUUAAUUGUUGCUAUAACUAUUUUCAAAGGUCAAAAAUCUUUUUAGUUUAAAUUCUGCUACUUAGAGAGCCUGCUUGGCGCUGCUGUUGGAAGGCCAAAAACACUUAUUUUAGGAAGAAAAACAGUAUGUUUAAGAAAAAUUAAGGUGUUUAGCAAAUUAGAAAAACUAUUUUCAAAUGGAAGCAAAACCAAUUUUUAAAUUGUUGGGAUGAAGCUAAAAAAAUUUGCUUCUAAAAAAAACACAAGCAGAAAAUUGUUUUUUUUUUCAAGACCAAACAUCCAUGAGAUAUUCACUAAUAUAUCAUUAAUAAAUUAGCAUAUUAUCAUUUAAAAACUUAUUUUUAUUUUUUAUAAUAUGUUUAUAUAUUAUUAUUUUAUAUCUUACAUUUUGUAUAUUAUUUAUUAUUUUAUGCUAUUUUGUAGAAUUAGAAAAAAGAAAAAAAUUAGGACAUUAUAUGAUUUUGUGGUAAAUUUUAUGUAUGUAGUGAUUUAAUUUGUAGAACAGUUUUUAAAUUUAUUUUACCUUAUAUUUUUUUAUUAUAUUUAGAUGGUUGUGUUAAUAUAACAUCAAUAUUUAAUUUAUUUUAUUUUAUUUAUGUGUAAUAUUGAUUGAAAAUUUGAAUAUGUUUAUUUAAUUUGAUAAAAAAAAUUGAUUAAAAAAAUAUAAUUAUUACAAACAUAUUUGUAUUAUACUGAAUGUCUAUUAUGUGGAGUCCUUUUAGGAUAUGGUUAGGAAUCUUAUUUGAGGACCAAGUUAAAGAUUGAAAUAUAUGUUAGUUUGUCUAACAUAAGGGGGAGAUUAGAUACAACAGAAAAGUUGUAAAUACUCAUAUUGUGUCUCUUAAGGAUAGAGUCUACGAUAUCCAUGAAGCAUGAUAGACUAAUCAAUUCUAAAUAAAAUAAUCUUUGAAAAAAGGGGAGGAUCAAAGAAUCAAAAUGAUCACAAUAAGGACACAAUGUGCACUUGAAGAGCCUACAACAUAACACUUUAUGAAACCUCAUGAGGGGUUAGCUACCUAAAAAUAAUGAAGUGAUGAGAUCUCAAUAAGUUAAUGCCGUAUUGUAAUUGAUACAAAAUGAUAUAUCGUUAAAGAUAUCUUUGAUACAACAGCGCAAUAUUGUAAAAGAUUAUGAUGAUAUAAAUUCUACGUCUAUUAAAGCAUGCUGGUGUAGAAAUAAUUAUCAAAUGAAAAAGUGGAAUGAUGCAUCUUGGUAAGCGUAAAGCUUAUUUUACUUGCAAUCUAGGCACUAGAAAAUGUCAUACGUUUAAUAUUAAAUGUUGUCACUUGACAAAAAUUGAUAUGAAAAUAUUCGUUGGGCUCAAAAUUUAAAGCAUAUACAAUUUUUUGGAGAACUUAUUUAUAAUCCUCAGGAGGACUAAAUAAAUUCAAGAUGCAUAAAGUAUAUACAAGUAUUGUUAUGCAAAUUGAUGACUAAAAUUGAAUAUCUUGAAGAGCUUUCAAAAGGCAAUAGAUUAUUUGCUUAAAAAAUUUGAAGUAAGGAACUUGUAGAAAUCUUUGAUCUAAAAGGUAUAAUUCUUAAAAGGAGAUAGAAGGAAGCAUACUUUAUCAAAACUUUCUACACACAUGAGCUCCCAAGAAUGGUGAUAUCAACAUGCAACCGUUUGUUCAAGUAAUACUAUUAGUUGAUUUAUUCACCAAGUCUCUACCAACUACAACUUUCAAGAAGAUGGUGCACAAGCUUGAAAUACGAAGAUUCAAGUCUCUGGAUUGAUGUUCUCAUUAGGAGGAGGUAAUACGUGAUAUACUCUUUUUUCCUCACAAAGUUUUGUCUCAUUGGGUUUUCUUGUACGAUUUUUAAUGAGGCAUCCAUGAUGUGUAUUAUUGCAUGUGUACUUUUUUUCCUUCAAUAGAUUUUUCUUCCACUAGGUUUUAUCUAGUAAGGUUUUAACGAAGCACAUAAUCUACUGACAUUCAAGGGGAGUAUUAUAAACAUAUUUGUAUUAUACUAAAUGUCUAUUAUGUGGAGUCCUUUUAGAAUAUGGUUAGAAAUCCUAUUUGAAGACCAUAUUAGAUUUUCCCUAUAAAUAAAUGAAUUUUCCUUCGGUGUAAAUAAGAUCCAUGAAUCCUGAAUAUAAUUUAAGAUGAAUAAGAAGUCUUUUCUCUUCUUCCUAAUUCAUUAUUCUUCUUGUUUAUAUAGUUUCAUAAUAAUAAUAGAUAUAUUGAUACUUGUAAACAGUUUUUAGCGUCAAAGUCAAACAAACACUUAAUCUAAGAAAAAGCAUCAACAGUUUAGCCUAAUGGUCCAUGAAGUGGAUUGAGCACCGUGAAGUGUCAAAUCCAAUUCCCAUCAAAAUAACACUAUGUAAUUUCUUCUCAUCUAUUUUAACCUUGGUAAAUAGAAUUACCUGGUACAUGUUUAUGGGAGGUGACAAAUACCCUUUUGCUAGAAAAUGUAAAAUAUUUUAAUAAAUCUCAAGGCAUUAAGAUUAUGUAACUUUUAUUACGAAGAAAAAUGCAACAAAAAAGACUUGAUAUGAUGAUAUACCUAGGUAAGAAAUGAAAUUAUUGUUCACUAGGUACCUUUUUUCAUCAAGUUAUUGAAUUGCCUACUAAACUUCAUGGGUUUCUAAUGGUACUAGUUGUCAGAAUGGCCUUGUCAAAUUACAAUAACCCAAGAUUUUCAUCAACUUCAGUCAUACAUGUAUUCACUUAGACAUAAGUAGUAAGUCUAUCCUAUCUACGCAAUUUUUAACAGAAUAUUUUGGUGGAAGGACCAUCAACUAUCCUAGACUUCAAUAAUGGUAAGCUCGAGUCAAAAAAAUAAAUGAGCAACAUAUUUUUAAAAAAAUAAAGAUUAAUGAACGAUAUUCUUUUUUUCUAAUUUAAAUAUUAGUAACUUAAAGUUAGGUGUGUCAAAAGAUAUAUCCAACAAGGGGUGUUUAUAUUUAGUAAUAAAGUAAAGGUCAGAAACUUUUGUCUGAAUGAUUUUAGGUCUUCUGUUAGUUUAUAUUCAAAUUAAUUAAUUAUUAUCUAUAUAAUAAUGUAAUGUAUGGAUUUCAUAUGUAAUUAAGUAUUUUGGUAUGAGUAUUUUAUAUUUCAAAAAAAAUCAUUAAAUAUUGAAUAUCCUUUUUUAUUAAAUACUGAUAUUUUCGACCUCUAAGAUAACUCUUUUUCGGGUGAUGAUGAUGCAAGACUUGUUAAGAAUUAAUCACCAAUUUAAUCAUAUAUUUAUAUAAAAGAGAACCCUAGGCCCGCCUACAUGGCUCCACCGCAAGAAAAAAAUUCCGUUUUAAUUUAUUUAUUUCCAAAACUGAUCUUCUUCUUUCAUGAAAAGAUGUGACUUUAAUGAAAAGUUGCAACUCUAAUGAAGAAUUGCGACUUUUAUCAAAAGUUGUGACUUUAAUGAAGAGUUGCGACUUUUAUCAACAAUUGUGUUUUUUGUCAAAAGUUGGGACUUUAAUGAAGAGUUGCGACUUUAUGAAAAGUUGCGACUUUUAUGAAAGGUUAUGAACAUUCCGAAGGGUUGUAACUUUUUCAAAUAGUUGUAGCCUUUCUGAUAAGACACAGUAAAGAUUUGUUCACACUACCCUUUGUUUUUUAUGAAUAGUAGGAUUUCCUCUCAUUUUAAAACGACAAAAAUUAUGACUUCUUCUACUUCCGCAAAAUUAAAUAUUCGUCCACUAUGCUGCUGUUGAGUGUCUUACUAACAACAUUGUUUUGUCUCUCAUUUUAGAACAACCAAAAAUUCUGAUCUUUUUCUUCUACUUCCACAAAAAUUAAACAUUCGUGUACUUUGCUCAUGUUGAGUGACUUACUAACACCACAAUUUUUGUAUCAAUAAGUUGGUCAAUAAAAUCGUUUCAAUCCUGAGAGGAUGUAAUUCAUUAAACCCUUCGUAUUGGAGGAGAAUAGUUUUAAGGGGACAUUAUGCAUUAAGUGGACUCGAUUUUUUCCUUUCUACUUCAUUCUAUUUUUACAUAUUCUGGCAUGUUUUUUUACAUUCAUUAAUUUAUGCUUAUGAUAAUAAUUAUUGUUUUUGAGUACAUGUUUUAAACUCUGUUGUUUAUAUUUCUGCAAAGUUAUUAUUUAUGUUUCUGCAAAGUUAUUAUCUCAUGUUAUAAUGAACAUAUAAACAUAUCGUAUAUAUAUUCAAUGUGCAGAAAAUAAUUAUUGUACUCAGUUCCAAGAAUUUAUGUUUUGAUAUUCUAUAUUAAAAUCUAUAACUUAAAAGUACUAUAUAUAAGCUUACAUAUUAUUUAUUUUUACAUAGAUAUGAAAUUUCUCACUUUUCAAUGAACGAAAUUCAUUAUACAAGCCCAAAAGUUACAAUUGCUUUCAUGUUGAAGCAUAAUUUGUUUAUUGAAUAUGCUCACAAAUUUUUGAAUUUUCUCCUAAGACAUAUAUCACAAUUGUAUAAUCUAUGCAACUUAAAUGUUUCUUUUAAUUACGAAACGCUUUUGUAUAUAUAUUCUUAUUUUCUUUUUUAUUUCCCUUUUAAUGUUGAUUAAAGAACCAAUGAUUUAUUAUUUCAUGAAUAAUUCAUUCAUUAGAAGUUCUUGAGUUUUGUGAUAAUAACAAAUAAUCAAAUUCAUGUUGGAAUAUUGUUAAUAUUUUUUUUAAAACCUAUUUUUGUAUUAUUUUUAAUUUAUGGAUAUUAGAAAAAAAAAUUAUCUUUGCAAGUUCAAUGCAAUUAUUAUUUAUGACCAGGCAAAACACGGGCAUAUUACCUAGUUAAUAUCUAAGACACGACAAAGAAAAAGAGUUGUAAAGAAAUGAAGGAAGAUCUCUAGAAUGAGUAUUCUACAUUGAAAAGUCUAGAGAUAUUCUAGAAAUGCUAGUUCUGGAAUUAAGUAGUUGGAGGAACAUUCUAGAAUGAAAUAGCAAAUAUCCUAAGCUAGAUUUGUGAUGUAUGUAAACUAAAAUAAAGUAUGUGUGGCUCAAAACAAGAGCAAUUGCUGAAGUAAACAGUGUUGCUGAAACAAUCAACAAGAAAGCAAGCAAGAAAAAAAAAGCGAGUGCAAGAAAUAUUGAGGGUAAGAAUUGUAAGAUCAAAGCGGGUUCUAAGAGUCAAGUUAUGAGCAACCGAUUAUGUCUAUCAAAAAUAUUCAACAGGACUAACUUGCAUAUCCCUUGGCUAUUCCACCACCUGCAUCCUCCCAUAAGUAAAAGUGUGUGAUAACUCUUGUCCACCAAAAACUUUAGACAGAUGACCAGAAAUGACUUCAAUUUUUUACUUCUGUUAAGGAUUCCACCUCUAAUCUUAAUCAUCUUCAUACAACUAUACUGAUUGUAAAACUUCGCCAUAAAAUAAAAUCAAAUGAAGUUAAUAAGAUAAGUCAUCACCUUAGAAAAACCUUUUUUUAAAAAUUAAAUAAAUAGGUAAAUCUGGAAAAAAUAUUGGUUCUAAAACAGUCUUUGUAUCAAUGGACUCUCAAGUUAUCUGAAUAAAUAUGUAACUUAGCAUAUAUCAAUUGCUUAGUAAACAUGAGACGUAGCUUCACUAGAAACCAAAAACUAGUAUGUACUGUGUUUCUUUCUUACAAAAAGAAGUAGUAAUUACUCAAAGUGUUUACUUCCUAGUCCGUCUCAGUGAAAUGGUCAAUUUACUAACUGGAAACUAAAAAACAUCCAUCAUGCAGCAUGCUUAUUUUAUUAUAUUUAUUUGUUUUUUCCAUUUUUCCCAACACAUAUAUGAUUUGGAUAGUAUAUUUGAUAUUUCUAAUCUGAAAGUUUAUUUUGUAAAGACUUAACACAUUAUUUACCUGAAUAUAGAUAAUAUUUUAUAAGUUCGAGUCAAACUCAUUCUUAUUUACUUUUUUGGUAGAGCACAUGUUUUCUAAAAUUAAAAAAAAAUCAUAGUAACGGCAUACCCAAAAUUUGCAAUGGGAUGCCGGAUGGUUGAAUUCGGAAGAAAAAAAAAAGAGCUGGCUAACUGCAUUGGUAACCACUUUAGGGCUAUUGUUUAAGACAUACCCAAAAUUUGCAAAGUACUUGAAAGUCCCAAACAUGUUCAGGUCAGUAUCAUGAAGUUCAAAAUGUGAAAUUCAACUGUUUUUCUCAAUUGUGUUGGACAUCUUAUUCUAGUAACGGCUUCCCUGGAUUGGUUAUUUAUAUGUGCAACAGAGGCGGACAGUCUGUUCAAAUGGGGUGCAUACUUAUGUAAUGUAUACUUGGAUAGACAAUUUAAUCCGGUUGAUACUAGUUCUCGCUGCUUACUACUCUGUAUACUUUAGUUUUUAAUAUGCCUUUCCACAAACAAACUUCUGCUUACAAGAAAGUUAUAUUUCUUUUUUUUAGCACCAUGAUCAAAUUUGAAUAUGCAGUCGUUAGAAGAAUCAUAAGACCAGAUUUCUUUUGAGUUGAUUCUCGAACUUCUCAGAUAAAGACACCACCAGCAGGCAGCAGUGACUGGUUGAUAGUUGCAGUAAGAGAAGUGUGACUAAAUUUAAAUACAUCACAGAUAGUGGUUAUAGUUAACAGCAGUCCUUAAAGUGGCUUUCAGAAAAAGAUUUUCUCAUAUAGCUCACACAGGAGGCCCAAUUAAUGAGGAAGGUAACCAUGUACGUCAAUAUUGUAGAGGCCAAAAACUUUCUGGCAACAUAAAAACCAAAAGAUACAUUUGCAUUCAUUAAUGUGACCUUCCUUUUCUCUUUUCCUUUUUCGUUAGGUGGGAAAUGGAGCUUAUUGCAUUGUUUAAGAAUAAAGUUAGGUUAGCAUUAAGAAGUCUUACCUUCAAAGAAAGGAAAGCAAAAGGAACCCCUUUCCCUCAGGCAUACAUCAACUUGGUUAGCUUAUGGCUCCCAAGAAAGGCAUCUUCAUAUCUGUAGGGAAUAGGUAAUAGAAUCACAGGACAAAUAAAUAAAAAGAUAAAUACAGAUCAAGGGCAUGAAGCUCCCCUAUAUAUACAUAACGAUUUUCAGUAACAUUUGUGAAAGACUAAACAAGAGAAAAAUGAAAUUCUUGUUGCAGCUUCCCUGCUGUUCGUGUUUCUGCUUCAUUAAGAAGAAAAAAGGGAAGUCGAAGGACAAAGAACCGAAGGAACAUUGAAAGAGCUGUUUUACAAGACCUUGAGGAUGGCAAAGAUUGAGCACAGGAUCUACGGCACCCCUUCUUUUGCUUUUCUGACAAGACAUAUAGCUCAAGCUUGAGCUUUCACUCAUCAUGAUUCUCACGCGCAAAAUGUAAUCUUAAUGGAAAAUCAUCAUGUAAUGACAAAUCUGAUUUUAAAAGCUUCAACUGAUCUUCUUGCUUGUAUCUUCAUCUCUGGGUGCCAAGCCUAUUUCCUCCAUUUGAUGUUCAACGGAAACAAACCCAGUCUCUGCUAAAAACCUAAAAGGGACAAACAUAAAUAUGCAUUAGAUCUAUGCAUUACAUUCAACUAUUGUAAUGUAAUUGAAGAAUAUAAUAGUUCAUAGGAUUAAGUGAAACUUAAAUUGACUAACAAUGCAAAAGCUAGAUGUUAUAUUCAAUAAGUAGCAGUUCCACAGACUGUAGAGUGUAGACAAAAGCCAGUCUGCCACUCAGCGCCAAUGGGAAACAGGAGGAAAAGAGAGAGGAAGCAGCUUUUGUAACAUAAAACUACCAUGAAAAGUUGAAAGCAGAUUCAUAUGCAAAACCAUAACAUAAUGUUAAACAUUAUGACCAAAUGUGUUCCAUAACUUUUUUUGAUAAAGGUAAUGUUGUAUUCUUAUCAAUCUUCAGAACAAGUUAUGUUUGUGAUGAUGGCGCACAGUUCAAAACUCAAUAGAUAAUGGCUGCUCCUACCCCUACCCUUCUCAACUUAAAUACCAAGCUCUUUUCUGUUGUAGGGUUUGCACUCAUGAUGUGCGUCUAAGACUCUAAGUCUAACUCAAACGUCACAUGUUGCACUCUUACCACUAGACAAAGCCUUGAGGGGCCAGAAUUAGUUCCAGAACUGGAUGAAGCUAAAUACAAUUUAAUCAUCAUUUCAGAUUGCUCACACUGGCAUGCAGAAAGAUUGUAAGGCUAGCACAAGCUUCACAACUAUUCUCUUUAACGAGUUGUGAGAGCAUGAAAUAAUUUGGACUCAACAAACUACAUGAUGGAAGAAUAAAAACAAAGCUACUUGAUCAGCUACUAACCCAGAAUCGUAAACUAAGAGCUGAAAGUCAAACAAGUAUUCAAUCUAUAAUUUAGAGGUUUGUCCUUUACUUUCAUUCACAACAAUCAGAAUGCUUUUUUACGCCAUAAUCAACAAGCUAAAUUCAGGUUCAAUAUCUCAACAAAGUAAAUCCAUUCUAACCAUUAAUCAAGGGAUUGAUCAUACUCAACGGACUCUGAGAUUUCAAAAUUGUUAAUAACAAUAACAGUAUUAAAGUUUCUCCAAAAGAAUAUCAAGUGAGAUUUUAUUUUUCCAGUCUUAACUUUUUUACUACUGUGCUAGGCAACAAGAAGGUCUGACAUGCAUUAACAAACAAUCUGAUGAACUGCCAACUAGCAACAAGACCAUGUCAGCCAAUUAAUAUUUAGUUCGUCUACCGUACUCUUAAAUUUUCCAGUUCACCUCUCCAGGAAAAUGGAAUACUUCUCUCCCUGCAUCUUGUAGAAGAAUAUGAUACACACGGGGAUGAAACACCUUAAGGCGGAUCAUUCAUCCACUAGUGCUAAUAAGUCUACAAAAACCCUUCUUUUUCCUAGAGAUCAACUUCCCUUUCCCAAGAAAUAAUUCAACAAAUGCAUUAACUGGCUAUUCAUAUGGUCCUGGAAUUCUAUAGUUCAUCACUAACUGCGGGUACUACGGGAAACACACCUGGAAAGUAAGGAUUCUUUACUUAUUUAUCUAAAAUACAGAAAUCAAAUUAUACAAGCUUAGUUAACAGUUUUGAAGUACAUAAUACAUUAACAUGUAAGCAAAAGAAGUAAUACAAGUUAAAUCAAAUGAUAAAAGCCGCAACAUACCUACUAAGAAGUACAAAGAGGGUUCCAGUUAUUAAAAAGAGGAACGCAACAUGGAGAGUCAAAGAGAAGUCACUUGAAGAAAAAGCCAACCCCAACAUAACAGCAAGACACACAACAAGCAUCAAAAAUGCCAUCUUUAGUGUGUUCCAAGUAGGAGCCUGAAUCCGGAAAAAAAAAAGUCAACUACUUGAAUCAACAAAUUUUAAAGUGAACGCAUAUUGUAAAGGAGGAAAUUAUACAGACGUUGACUCCUGGAGCCAAAGCUCCAACAAGAACUGCUUUUGCUGAUGAUAACUCUUCUCUGUUUGAUUCUUUCGACUCCAUAUUUGUGAUUUGUGAGUGAUGGGAUCUGAUCGAGAUUUGAGUGCUCCAAAAACAGGAAGAAAAUAAUGAGGAAGAUUUGGGAAUCGUGAGGGAAAUACCCAGUAAAUUGGAUCAGUCACACCUCGGCCCAAAUUAACUUUGGCCCAACAUAAGGGUGUCGAGGUUUCAAAACUUUGACAAAGUGAGAUUUGAGUGUUUACUUGUUUUAGCUAGAAUUAUCUUUUAAAAAUAUUAAAUACAAGUUACUACUAUAUAUACUACCAUUACUUAUACUUUUAAAAUAUUACGUAUGUUAUUGCUAAUUAAAAGUUCUCUACAUAUCUAACAUGCAUGUAUAUUUAUUACUAAAUGCACAAAAAUAAGCAGAAAGGCGAGCGAGAUUGGGAAGAGAGGCGAGCGAGAUUCAUAGUAUUCCAGAUACAUGCAAAUCACACUAGAUACGUGUUUUUAUAUGUAUCCAGAGUAAUUUACACGUAUCUGGGAUACUAGAUACAUGGGAGAGUGACGCACGAGAUACGCUACGUAUUCCAGAUAUAUAUAUAUAUAUGAAUCCACUUGGAUACAAUAUAUCUAGAACAAAUAACAUCUAAAUUUGAGUAUACGUAUCUUGAGGCACCAAAAUCCGAUAAGAUAUAUAAUGUUACAUAUUAGAAUGUAUAUAAGUAACUAGCUCCUAAACUAGUGGGAUUUAUAUAUGUUUCUUUAUUUUUUAGAUAUUUAUUUUGCAUUAGAAAGAGGCUAAACGUUUAAUAUUUGGUUAAAAUGCCUCGUAUGUGUAAGUACCAAAUGUUUCUGACAAUUUAGGUUAGCAAAAAGUUCAGUAUUUUUAAAGGCACAAGCGUGAGACUAGGCGUUUUGCUUGAUGCGAGGCCAAGCAAACCUAUAUGAAAUGAGUUAAAUUUUCAACAAACAACAACAUAUCUAAUAUAAUCCAAUAACAACCGUCUUUAUGCUCAUGUUCUACAAUUCUUUGCUAUAAACAUCCACUGCAGAUGACUUUUAAAAAACAAUACAACUUCACAAAAUGAGAAAAGUGCAUUCAUCUUCAACAUUUCUACAAGUAAAAAUAUUCCAGAUAACACUUUCUCAGUUCACAACCAAUUAAAAGCAUACAUUUCUAUAUUUCAUCCAUCUAAAUUGGUACAGAUUUCACACUUAGAAAGUUUGUGAUGCCACAAUUCAUGUAUUUAUAAGCUGAGAAUUAAGGCAAUGCAGGUGGAAAAAUGCCUGAUAGAUAUGAGUAUUCAUAAAGCUUAGUUCCCCAUAAAAUUAGGACCUUUAUAUUGAGACUCUGGUGGUAUUUGCCGUUCUCUCUCUUUGAGAUAGUUAAGAAGUGUUGGCUGCUCCUGUCUAAAGUCCAUUCCAGUGCCACAUACAUACGGGGAUGCUCUUUCGUAACCAAGAAAAUGUUUACCCAUUAUUUGUUCCUCUGCACCAUAGGCAAGAGGAGGACUUGGAUGCAACUGUGGGCUCUCCAAGUACACCAUGGGACUAGAAGCCAAGUGAUUUCCCCACUGAUCUAAGACAUCAAACCUGGUAAGGUUGGUCGCGUUCAGGUUUCCAUAGGUUGCUGGUGCAUUUGAGUGAACAGGCCACACCGGAUUGCUGACUCGCUCAAAGUUUUGACUGUUUCUGUAGUGAUACAGCCAUUCAGAUGAACUCAUUCCAAGUAAUGGUGGGUACCCCUCAACAAAGCGUGGAGCACCUGCAACAAAAUCAAGUGGUCCACGAACUGUAGAUGGACUUGAGUAUCCACCCACUGGUGAUGCACCAAGAAUACCGUCCCCUUCCUUGGUCCCAAAUGCACUCUUGUUAGGGAAAACUGAUGAGUUUCCCUUAAACCAAGAUGCAUCUUCCGGUAACAGUGGAGCUGAAGGCACUGGAGUGACAUACGGAGAAGGCGUAUCAUGAAUAGCUGCAGAAACUAGCAUGGAACGAACAUUGUGAUCUCUAGUUUCUUUCAAGGAGAGACCAGAUAAAGAUUCAGAAGCUAGUUCAUCAAUUGGGCUUAACUGCUGCCUAUUUAUAUCCCUUAGUCCCCUCUCAUUUCUUGGAGUUUCCUUCUCAAGGACCCAAGCAUUUAGAGAUGGAGGUCCAGCAGGGAAAGCCGUAGAUUGCUUCAGUGGCUUGCUGUACCUCAAGUUUGUACUUUCUGGACGGAAGCUGAAAAUAUCAUUCUGUGGAUUGCUUUGCUCAGAAAUCAACGAUGUGGCACGGCGCAAGGAUUCAUCAGAAGCCGCAGUUCCAUUGAUAACAUUGAUGGAGAAUUGAUCACAUGAAGUGCCUGAUGUAUAUAUUGGUUCUGAGUUAUGUCUAGUGAUGGGCUUGAAAAGAAUGACUUCUUCCUCAUCUGUGGUAACGGAUUGGCUGCUGAGACAAGAAUGAUCUUGACUCUCUCCGUUUUCCAUGGCCAUUCCACAAUUAUUUUGAUACGUCUCUUUUAGCGGAAGAGUCGAAACAGAUUCAGCUACUCCUGGCUUUCCCUUAUCUGCUAAUUCUGAGUCCAUGAUGUGGAAUCUUUUGCCUGUUUUAUCAUAAGAGAUCCAUUUUCUUGAGUGACUGGAUCUGUGAGCCAGUUUAGUUGCUGCACGAAAGAUACGCUGUGAACGACAUACACUCUUACUACUGAAAUUAUCAAUGCAUUCCAAAUGGCUCGUGAAGUCCAAAGACUUGUGAGCAUGGGCCAUGGGAUGAAACCCCUUCAGUUCAUAGUCUUCCCAAAGAGCAGUACUUUCUAGAGCAAGUUCAUUCUCACAAGGAUCAAGGCGGUUCAGAAGAUCAGCUAAAGCACCAAAAAAGUAAGAUAUAGCACUCUGGACCUUUUCAUCUCUUGCGUGUGCUUCUGCUCUAUCAAGUAUGUUAACUAACCAUUCUACAAACACACAGACGGUGGGUAAAAGGGGGCAAGUCUGUGUGCUAUUUCUUGUUGAAGCUUUCUCAACAAGGCGACCAGCACAAAUAAAAGUAGCAGCUACUGCCAGCUCUGUCAAUGCAGAUUGCUGCUUGUUAUCUUUCUUUGGAUCCACUCCAUCCCCACUCUCAGUCAGGCUAUGGAAGAUAAAGAUGAAAACAGAGACAAGUUGAAGAGCACGAUAAGGGCCUUUUCUCGAUAGAUCCAUUAAUUGGUAAGACUCUAGAGAAGCCUUUAAUUCAUCAACAUCCAUUACCACCAGGCAUUCCAAUUGUCGCACAGUGGACGCAAGAGUAGAUUGAAAGUCUUCCAAGCUGCAUUCCGGAAACAGCUGAAGUCUUAGAGUUUCUAACAUAAAUAUUGAGAUCAUUUAAAACUAUGUGAAGGAAGCCACUAGCUUAUCAAGAUCUAGAAGCACCAACUUAUAUCCAGAACAAAAUUAAAGUUAGUAGUAAGUAAAGGAAGAAAAAAAAUGUUCAAAGGAAAAAUUUGGGUGAAGAAGGGUUUAAUGUGAGAAAUCAAAAGGACAAGCCUAGUUGAGAAAAUUUACUCAAAAGGCAUGCAUUUAAGCAGCCUAGAGUUGAUCAAUCAAACAAAUUAGUUUCAAAUGCAGUGUUUCACUAGAAACAAGGGAUUUGAGAUGCUGCAUUACUUUUCCUGAUAUCAUUGAUUCAGAUAUAAAGAAAGCAGUUACUUAACGAGGGAGCAGCUUCAUCAGCUUGUGUUACAUGAAGCAUGAUAUCCAUGGAGAUGGAGGCAAAUAUAAAACCAAUAUUUUCACCUUGUGUUUGGCAUGGAAGUGUUUCAAAAUACCACUCAAAAUAGCAAAAAGAAACUAAAAAAAGAUUUUUUAAAAAGAGAGAAAAAUAAAAAGUCCACAAAUUGCUCAUGAAGCUAUAAAAGACGAGAAUUGAUCCCAGGUAGUCGAAAGGAGUAGCAGGGGUCAGGGGAGACCUAUUUAAUCUGCACCUGGUAUCAGCAAGCCACAAAUAGCUGAGGUUACCAGUGACAAAAUAAUCUUUCAUCAGACAAAUACAACUAGAGAACAGUACAUCAGUUUAAUCCUUAUAUAUGCUUUUAAUUUAACAAAAGCAAGCAAAUUUGUCGAUGCACUAAUGCUAACCUCGGUUUCCAGUUUUUAAUGCCUACAGUGCAAUGUUUAUACUUGGAAAUUACUGUUGAAAAUAUACAUAUCUUUAAGUUGGUUAAAUCACGCAGAGCUAGUUAACUUCCCCCAUAAAGAAAAAGCAACUACAGGGCGAAAAGGGAUUAAGUGAAAAACAAUAGAUGAUACAUGUGAACUAUCUCAAAUAACUAUUUGAAUAACUUGAAAGAGUUAAUGAUGUGUACCUGGAGUACACGAGAAAGAAACUCAUCAAUCUAACAAACAGAAGCCAUAUAUCAGCUUUUCCGGAGGUAACAGUUUCAGUGGUUUCUGGCAUAUUCUUGUUAAAGGAACCACUGGUUACGCGAUUUAUAGCAUCCAUGGAACACCAUACUGAAGGUUUUAGCAAAUCAAGGCAAGCUCCACCAGAAUAUGAAUGCAAAAUAGAUGACCUGUUCUGCAGAUUCGCAAGAAACAAUGAAAAGUGGUUUUAGUCCGUAGACUUAGAAGGGAUCACAGCAGAUGGGGAAAACACUCAUAAGGGAAAUAAUACACUUCAAGUUUCUUUUGCUCAAGAAAAGAAGAAUGAAGACUAAGAGAAAAUCUUUUGACAUCACCUCUUCAAAGAGUAGCAUAAGAUUGUUCCAGGCAUCAGGGAAUGGUUCCUUAACAGCUAAACUUCUGACGCAAUGGUAUAAGGCAAGGAAAGGGUCACCAGUGUAUGUUGCCAAUAGUGCAAGCUGCAGAUGAAAUUUAAAUACCUUAAUAAGAGCCUCAAAGCGGAUUUCUCUCAACUUUGAUGCAGGAAACGAGAAUUAACAAUCUUGUAUCUUAAAGUUUGUAAAAGACGAAAAGAAACAUAUAAAAAUACAAGGUGUCCACAAUCCAACAAAUUUAACCAUUGAAGUCUACCUGAUUAUGAGGAUUUCCACUGUCUGGCCAUAUCCUAGAUGCCUCGAAGUAGUAUGUGGCCGCUAAAGACCACUUAAAUGCAUCCGGUUUCUUACAAAGUUCACCAUAUCUGGCCAGGUCUCCCAGACAAAUUAGAAAACGGUGGCAUGCAUAUUGGCAUUGAGGCAGCUUCAUGGGUACAAGAGGAAGUGACAUGCUACCAUUCUUACAGAGUAACAAUUCCCUGGGGAGCCCACAACUUUGUCUGAGUUUUUUAGUUAACUCCUGAUAGAACUCAGUAGCUUCAGACAGAAAUGACUUGAGCCCUUCCAUAUGAUUGUCAAUCUCUCGGGCAGCACUUGAAUCACCUUCUUGUGUUUCAAUUUUCUUUUUUUCAGCAUUAGCCUGCCGAAUCCUUUUACGAAACUCAUCAAUGUGUUUAUAGUGAAGUUUCCACAGAGAGAAUUCAACUUCCUGAAGCCCCACUACUUCAUAAUUAUUUACAAUAAUAUUCUCAUAGCUGGCACGGGCUUUGUGGUACAAUUCUUGGACAUCUUUGUGCAACAGGCCUUUAGAGUAGAUUGAUGUUAACAGUUGCUUUUCUGUAUUGGCAAUCUGCCAUAUGGAUGAGAAAAGUGAGCAAAUUUUCCAUCACAAGAAGCACAAAAGGAAAGUAAAACAAUCUGAACAGAUUCAAUAAGUCACCUCAAGAAAAGUACUCAAUUUUUCCUUCUGAUCGUUAAAUGCUGCAGCUGAAUCAGCAUCCAUGACUGCUAAAAUAAACCUUAGUACCAAUCAAUAUCUCAUUGAUGACACCAACAAAAAUGUACCUACAUAAGGAUUCAACUACCUCUUUAGCAAAAGCACCAGCAACCGAAAGAAAGUAAAGGGAAUUUUGUAUGAACUACAACAAGAAAAUCUAUUAACUUCCGAUGUUCUAGCAUUGAUCUUAGGAUGCUAACCUCUCCUUUAGGCUUUAACUAGUUCCACAGCAACAUCACAUACAUUUUGUAACUUGUGGAAUUUUGAAAAGUUUAUUCAUAGGUCAGUCAACUAAACUAUUAUUCAACACCCAUAAAUAUCAAGGACAUUUAAAAGAAAGCAAAAAGGGUCAAUAUCCAACUUGAUAGCCUUGAAUUAGUGAAUACUAGAUCAUCACAAAGGGAAUUUCUUGCACAACCUCAGUUCAUCAAACCUAAAACAUAUCUUUUCUACUGAAUUUUUUACCACAAAAAAUACAUGUUAUAUAUCCAUUUAACUUGACAAUAAAAAUGAUCUCUAAAAGCCAGUAGCCAUAUCUCCACAAAUUCAUUACAAAAAAAAAACAAAAACUAUUUAAGAUGUCUUCCCUUGUGCCCUAUAAAAUUCCAAAAAUGACCAGUUUGAAGCACAAAGUCAACCAAAACCUAAAACUGAUAAAGACUUUCAGAUGACUUUCUGACUCCAUACCUUAAGCAACACAAAGGAAUAGAAAACUGAUAAGAAAGAAAUUAAUAGUGAUCAUUUCAUUGAUCACCACCAUAAAUGAAUACAACUAAGCUAGAAAAUGAUGCAUUCAAUUGUCAGAUACAUCCAUACCAGUUCUCUACAUAAUUUAUCUUCUUUCAAGCAUAAAUACAAUCUCUAGAACAAAAAAAAAUUGAUUUUUAAAAUCUUGAAAGAGAAAAAAGGAAAUUGGGGAUAGAAUGAUGAACAGAAAGUAGCUAUAGUAACUUGAAAUUAGACCUAUAAAAAAGAAGAAUCUAGACAAAUAGUCAAGCAAACAAGAAUCAAACAAAGGCAUAAAUAAAGCUACUACUUUUGAUAGAAAAAGUCAAAAACAUGAAAGGAAGAAAACUACAAUACCUGAAGAAUUGAAGAAAGAAACUGAAACUUGAAAUUCACAGAUGCAGCAAAUCGAUUAAGUGGGUAAGAACAAAGAAGUACUUUUGAUGAGCAUAGAGAGAGGGAGAUGGGGGAGAGGGAGGGAACAGUAGGACAGGGGAAGAAAGAAGUAAAACAACAGAAUUUUUGGCCAACUGUUGUUGUAUUAGUUGUGUGAAAUAGACAAAACAAAAAGGUGGCUGUGUAUUAAUGAGUAGAGUGAAAUGAAUAAAUUGCCCUUUGUCCUCUUAUACUAGAUGUUUCUGUUUUGUUCUGUUUUUUCUUAAUAAGAGAAAUGACGUUUUUUUAAUUUACUUGUUAUCAUUAUAAUUAUUAUAGCAUAUAAAUUUUUAAAAUUUUUUGUUUUUCUCUUUUAAGUCAUUAAUUUAUCUGAUUUUUUAUUAAUAUACUUGACUUUCCUUUUAACAUAGUAGUAAAUGUAUUUAACUUUUUCUAUAACGCUCUAAUUAUUCGGUCAUUAAUGUAUUUGAUCCUUUUCUUAAAUUUCAACGCUUAUAUUAUAUAUCUGUUUAAGAGAUUUUUGCAAUUAUAAAUUUUUAAGAGAUAUAUUAUAAUUUUACCUUAAAAAGUAUGUGAAAUUUGUAAUUUAUCCCUUUUCUUCUUCUAAUAAUAAUUAUCUUAUUUGAAUAUUUUUUAUCAAAAUUUUAACUUAAAGAUUUCUCUCAAAUUAAUAGUUCAGUUGAUUGAUUACUUAAAUAUUUACCUUAAUAAUAAUAGUUCAAUUUCAUAUCUUCUGAUUCAUCAAACUCUCAAUUAAAAUUAAAAAUAAAAAAGAUUUUAUAAUUUUCAAUCAACUUUAUUAAUUAUCAUAUUAGGUAUCAGAUUACACUAUUAAACAUACAUUUAAACCAAUUUAUAUAUACAUCAAUUAUUCAAUCUAUAAUCACAUAUUUUAUUUUUGAGAUUUGAAUGUAAAUAGAAUCAAAAAUGAUUCUAACAUGAAGUGAAUUAAAAUUAAUUGGAGUUCCAAUAUGAAUAUCCAGUUGCCAAUAAAAAGAAAAGACGGAAUCAUUUUCAUUACUCAUUUUCAAUCUGUUUUUAGUUUUCUGACCAAGUAACUCCAUAAUGUCCCUUAUAAUCCAAGCUAAAAUCCAUUAAACUAAGUUAGAUUCACAACUUUUCUAAUAUAGCAUCCCAGUUUAUGAAUUUUUCAGUGAUUCCCUGAAUUUAUUAAUAUUAGUUGAGUUGCAUAGACAAGUCAUGAAGCUACUUGUCCUUUUUCAAAUCAUUAAUUACUAGAAGAAGUUUUAUAAAAUAUAAACUGUAUGUUUAAGCUGGUGGGUUGGUAGGAUGUUGUCUUUAACUUUUUUUAUAGAGCUAAAAUAAUUUUUAUUUAUCAUGGAUAAAGAAGCUUGCUUGCUUUGUAACCCUCUCACUUAUCAAUAUAACAUCUUUGGUUAACUAGAAAAAACCUUCAUGGCUCUAGAUAUUUUUAUACAUUAAAAUUACUAACAUAAAUUUUGGCAAAAAGCCAAUGUAAUUUUGACAGCAGAAGCAACCAACUCAUAAGAAUAUAUAAUUUGAAGAAAUACAUAUAGUGAAAAGAUAAUGGUCUAUAUAGUUGGUGUUAGGUUCAUGUCUUGGUCCACAUUUGGAUAUAUAAAUAAAUAGAUAACAUUAAUUUUUGUGCAGGAUAAAGUGUGGGCUCGCCAGGUGGAGUCAUCAUAUUAGACCCUCUACCCCACUUAGACAUUUUGAUUUGGGCUUAAUUCAAUCAUGCUCCUAUAAAUAUAUUUGGCCUAAAAAAGGGAAAAACAGUUAACUAAUCUUUACCAUGUGCAUUGUUCUAUUAUUAGUCUAAAGAUAAUACUUUGUAUGUGAGUAGUUAUGAUACUCUAUCAACACGAGUAUUGAGUCUUGUGGGACAGUGCUGAUAAUAUUUUACUUUUAAUUAAAGAUUUUGGAUUUGAUUUUUUGGUGUGAAUAAUUUUUUAUUGAAAGUGUACUAAUCUCAAAAUAUAUUUAGUUAUGUAUAAUUUAAAUUUAACUAGACUUUAAUAUAAAUAUCGAAUACGUACAAAAAUCUUUUUUUAAUGAUAUUCUAAUAUAGUAUAUGGCGGGUUGUGGGGACUUGAGAUGUUACAACUUGAUGAGGACCUUUAUGUUCAAGAACAUUAAAGAAAGAACAAAAAAGGGACAUUGAGCAUCCUAAAUGUCAAAGAGACUUGACACAUCUUUCAUUUGAUUUACAUGAUUAACCAUAGUCCCCUUGUCUAAUCAAAAGGUUAGAAUUCUAGAAGAUGGUGCAUUAUAAAAUAAAACAUAAUUUUGGUUCUUUUGUGACAAUAUGUUUUAGAAUAUUAUAAAUAUCUAUUAUUUUAAUUUAUAUCUGAAUUCUUUCUAAUCUAAUUACCAAUUAUCCUUAGAAAAUGUCAAGAAAGACUAAGAAUUGCAUGUCUAACUCUUUUUAUUACUCUAAGAUCGACAAAAUGUCAAAACGGCUACAUGCACUUUAUUUUUCAUUAGAAUGAUUUAAUUUUGCUGGUAGUUCAUAAUUAAAAUUGUUGAUGUCUAUCCUUUAGGAUGGUCCAAUUAUUUAGGUUUGGAAUUUCCAUGUUAGUAGUUUCAAGUUCCAAAAUUUUUUGUCAACGAAGGUAAAAGAUUACUUUAUGGGUCGAACACUCAGUGCGGGUAAUUAGUAGUAGUAUUGCUACUUAGGUCUCAUUUGUUUGCACUUAAUUGAAUUAUGAAUUUUAAUCAUUCAGAUUUAACCCAUUAACUGUGUUUGGUUUUUGGAUUUAAAUCAGAAUCAAUCAGAUUCAGCCUAUUAAGUUCAUUUUUUUUUUUUUAAAAAAAACUCUUAAUGGGUCUGAAGAGGUCUAAACUAUGUUUGGAUCAUUGUUAUCCAUUGUAUUGUAUUGUAUCAUUACUAUACCUACAAUGUUUGUUGUAUUGUAUUAUAAAACGAUGGGUAAUAAUGAUUCAAACAAAAUGUUAACAACAUUCAAACUUAUUUGAUAAGUUAUCAAAUAAUAAAUUCCAAUUCUCUGCUUUGGACUUGCCUUUUUAUCUCAUAACUAAAAACUCUCUCUCUUUUCUCAGUCAAGCACCAUUUUUUCCCUCUUGAAUUGGUAAGUUGUGUUAAAAACCUGAUUGCAAUAAUAUUUUUGGUGUUAUUGUUUAUCAAGGUUUUUGAAUGAAAAAAUAGUACUCAAAAUCGUUGAUUAUUAAAACUUUUGAAUUUUUUUUAAUCAAAAGUGGUAUAUUUUAUUAAAAUGAAGAUUUAUAAUAUUUUAUUAAUAUAAUGUUCAAUUUCACUUGCACAUUCAAAUAUUGAAAACAAACAACAUUAAUUAUUUAGUAUCAGAUUUAGAGAUAACAUUUUAAUAUUCUGAUGUGUAUUCAGAUCAAAACACCUAAAUCUUAAUAUAUAUCUUAAUAUUCAGAUGUGUAUUCUGAUUCAGGCCUCUUAAUUUUAAUAGAAACAAAUGAAAUCUUACCAGAAGCUAAUAAGAACUUAGAACUAUUGAAUUCUUAUACAUGGGCUUUUCAGAUCAUGGGCCUGUUGACAAGUCCAAAUUCAUUCUAGGGCUUGAGUUUACAUUUUGUAUUUUUUUUCCAAGCCCAAUUUGACAAAUUUUUAUGAGACAUGAUCAAAUGGUGCAUCUCAAACGUAUAAUAAAUACAGUAGUUAUCGUUUGAUUUAUUGGUGCUCUUUAGCAAACAAUUGAUUUAUUUGUGUUCCUUAGCAAACAGUUUGAUUUAUUUGUGUUCCUCAGCAAACUGUUUGCCAGUGUCGCUUACCUCUCUCGCUUUAUACAAUAUAACUGUAUAAAUUGUGUUUCUGUUUGUAUAAAGCGAGAGAAAAUUGUAUAUACACAUGCAAAUACAUAUAUCUCCGUCCUAUAUACUUAUAAUUAUGCAACACAAAUAUUUCCCUGCCCAAGUCUUUUUUGUCGUUCUCUCUUUCUCGUUUUAUACAAUUCGAUUAUAAUUUCUCUGUAUCUCUUUUAUACAAUUCGUUUUAAUUGUAUAUUUCCUACACAAGUCUCUAUUGUAUUACUCUCUUUCUCUUUUUAUACAUAUUCAAAUUAUAUAUAUGUAUAGCGAAAUGGGCAUAACUUUCAGUUGUAUAUGUAUAUCGAAUUAUACAUUUAUAUAUUUGCUACGGAGUGUAAUUAUGCAAACUUUACUAUAAUAUAUAAAUUUAAAUUUUAUGUUUGCUAUAUGUGAAAGUUGUCCUAUACUUUUUGGGUUACAGCAUGAAACAUUAUAUUAUCUCCAGGUCUGGACUUAACUUGUUUGUUGUCCAUGUAUAAUGGAUUUGCUAGGGAGAAGGAAAUAAAUAAACUAAAUUAUGGCGUGUUCGAUACGAAAGAAAUGUUUUGACUUUUUCAUUUUUGAUUUGGUUAAAAAUUUUAAGAGUACUUACUCCAAUAUCAUAGACAUAUUUGGAAAAUAAAUUUCACAAUGUACAUUUCACUUUAAUGAUGUCCCUCACACUAUUACACCUCAUCUUCACUCCUACCGUGUAGCACUCACCUCUACUUUUCAUACUAUUUUUCAAAAUUAUAUAUAAAUAAUUUUAGAUAAUUCCUUCGCAUCAAGCAUAUCCUAUCAAAAAUUUUAAUUCCCCAUUUGAAUCAGCAACAUACAUAGUGAAAUUCCAUUCAGUAGAAUCUAUAAAUAGUAGAUUAAUAUGUACACAAAUCUUAUCAUUAUCUUAUUAAGAUAAAAAUAUUGUUUCCGAAAAAACCUCGGUUCUCAAUUUGUAUUUUUGAUCUGGAUUAUACAAUAAUGCACUGUACACCCAUAUAAUUCAUUUUUUUUUCAACAACUACUCUCAUCUGUCUGUUUCUGCUUUUUGUUUUUGUUUUCUGACAACUAUAUACAUCUAGUAAAGUUGACUCUCCAGAAGUGUGAUUGUCACUUGUUAUUGUCCACUAGAUUCAUUUGAUUCACGUUAUCGAAUACAUAAAUUGACUUAUUUACAAACGUAAAUUUGGUAACAAAUAAUCUUAUUUUUCAUAUCGACUCUGUAUUGUCUACAGCCUUCUCAGUUCUUACUAUGAGUUUCAUUCUUUUUCUAGAUUUAUGUACAUUAAAGUAUUUAGUUAAUAGGUCGAUUUAAUACUCCCUCCGGUCCUAACUUUAAUAUUUAACCAAAAAUAAGUAUAUUUUACAUAAUUAAGAAGGUAGGAAUUUAUUUAUUGAGUUUCUACCUAACAAAAAAAAAAUCAAAUUAAUUUUGUUCUAAGCUAAUUUUGUGUGAGAAAACUAUUGAUGCAUUAAAUCAUAGACGAAUGCUGCUAUAAGAAACAAAACUUUUUUUUUUGGUUAGAUAAUUUUUUUUAUGUAUUUUUCAUCAAAUCUACUCAAUUAAAAAUUAUACAGUGAAAACAAAUUCUUAAUGAAAUAGUGAAAAGCUUUCUAUUUUCUAUGUUACAACACUACUUUUUUUUUUCAUUAAUUCAAUAAAAAAAAUUAUUGAAUUAAAAAUCAAUCAAAAUAUUUGUUGAAUAAGUGACUGAUCAUUAUUUUUGAGUGGAAACUUUCAAGAGGGAAAUAAUGUUCUUUCUAAUAGUAGAGAAGUACGUGCACAACAGCUUUGAAUAAUGUGUUUCAAAAUUUUGGUUUUGUCGACUUUUUAGUUUUUAAUAAAAAAUCACUUCAAAUUCUGCACGGCUUUGAAUUCAGAAUUCAGACUGAAGUUGUCAAAUUUUUGAUAAUUAUUAAAACGAAAAAAAUAUCUAUUUCUAAAAGGGAAAAAUAAUA